GCCGCCUCCCUGGCCCUAGCCCUCGCCCUCGCCCCAGCACGCGCCGCCGCCAUCCUUCACCCAGCCCGUGCCGCCGGAUUACGCCCUCUUCACAGCGCGCCACCGCCCUCAUCUUCCCCCAUAUCAACAGAGCAACCGUCCUCCUGCCCAACGAGACCGAACCACCUACAAGCCCGAGCACCCUCUCCCGAAGAACACCGGCCACGCCCCGAAGUCUGCAUUGAUAUUCUCAACUAUCAUCAAUUUUUUGGCUGGAUUUCUUAUGUUCUUGCAUGCGCUCACUUUUUAUAGUGGUCGUUUACUUUGCCUGUUAGCUUGCCUUACUGUCCACCGGAGCGAUUGACAUGAACUUGUAUUUCUACCAUAAAGAAGAACCAGGUGUUAUGUACCAACUGCAUCAUAUUUUUAACAGUAAUCUGUUAUACUGGAGCAUUUUUUAUAACUCAACUGGAUGUUACUCAUCAGCUGCAUCAUGUUUUUAACAGUAAUUUAUUAUUGUUUGGCAUUUUCUAUCCACUCUGCAUCCUGUUGUUCACUUAGUAAUUGAGAAAGCAGCAUUAUGUUUUUCCUAAUUUGCUAUGCAAUUUUUGGCGAAUCAUUUGUACAGGCCGGUUUGUUCUUUUACGGUCUUGCUUUAUAAUUAACUAGGCAUAUCAUUUAGAGGCAUCUUAACCAGUCUGUAAAACUUAAGCUUGAGAUACUUGUGUCAGUCUAGAUCCUUCACAAUAUGCAUGAAUAAUGAUUUUAUAGAUAGAAAGUGUUGCAGGUAGCAGAGGAACAGAGUGCAGAAAUAAUGAUUUUUCCAAAAGGUGCUCCAUGUAAGGAGAUAUUGAAGCCAUUCAAUGAGAAAUCUAGGAAAACCAAUGUGGACGGGAAAAGGAUCAGGACUUGUUCGAAUGUGGCAAACCAAAUCACGACAGGCGAACAUAUCCUGUCCUGAAGUAAUCAUUUAUGUUUUGCUGUUGUAUGUACUUGUUUUAUCUAUGUGCUAGCAAAUGAACUUACCAUUUUUUUUGUUUAGGCCACCACCUGCGACAUGAUGAAAUUGAGUGGUGUCCGGCUGCUUAUCUGGUGAGCUCAUGUAAAAACAUGGAUGCUGAUUAUGCUCCACAAUGCCAAUCUGCCAUGUAUAUCUUCCAUAUAGAGAUUUCCAUAUAAUUGUUUGAUAAAUUGUCCAUUGUAGGAGUUAGGCUAUGGCUUUGGAAGAGGAUCCAGCAGAACCACAUGCUCCUGAGAUGGCUUCCGCCGCACAAGCUAGAUGGAUUAGUCGUGCCAUUUGCGAUGCAGUUGUAUUUUUUAGAAUAAAUUGUGCUAAGAAAGCCAAAAAUGAUGUCUUUUGUCUAAUAUGCCAAAUGUUUGGCAUAUCUGCCAUGCUUGGUAGUGUAGCAUGCAAAAAUGAUACAAGAGAUUGUAAUGUGCCAUACAUUGAGCUUUUAUUUAUGUUUUUGUGGUACUAUAACUCCAUUUCUGUAAUUUCUUGAUGCCAUGAAAAAUUUGGCCCCAAACAAGCUGAAAAUGUGGUCUACAUGCCUACCAAAUUGAUGCCAGAAUUUGCAUUUUCGGACCACAAUUUGACAUUUUUUCAAAGUUUCCGGAUAAUCUUGAAAUUUUUCCAAUAAAUAGUAAAUGCUUUGUUAUAUAAUCUGGGAAAAUUUCAUCUCAUUUUAGUGAACAGUUCAAAAGUUAUGAGCUUAUGAAGUUUUUUUCCUUAAGAAAACCCUGGUUAUGUUUGCUAUGCAGCGAUCGGCAAGUUCUAUCGUGUAGAGCCGAUAAGAUAACUCUCUCCUUACUAGUCAUUUUUUUUGUUCUCUUGAGCAAAUAACUCUUGUCAUCAAAUAUCAAUGCAGGACAAUUGUCCAAUGUUUUGAUCCAUCUCCUUGAGUCAUAAGUCGAUUAUAAAGGCAUCGCUUGGGACAUUCUGCAACUUGCUACAUGUACAUAAUGCAAUUGUUUAUGGAGAGGGCAAUCAUCCGAUCUGCACCUCAUCAUGGAGCUGUUUAAGCAAAAGGCAACUAUGCCGGUCCGUCUCUCUGCUCGUUAUUUAGCUGUUGAUAGAUAGGUUAUAUGGUCUGUUGAUCUCGAUCCAAUCUCCCAUCUUUGCCUUGUUUUAUUGCCUUGUGGUUUCAAAUAUUCUUCUGAUGAAACAAUUUCAGAAAAUGUGCAUUUUUGUGUCAAAACAGGAAAUGUGCACCAGAUGAAAGUGAAAACAUGAAUAUAUAAAGUACAACUAUAAAUAAAUACAAAUAAACAUAUUUUCCUAUAAAAAAAUACAAAUAUCCAUAUCUUCGUACAUACAGUAAAGAAUAUGACCCCAUAUAUAUAUAUAUAUCCUUCAUGAGGCAACAACAUUGACUAUACAUACUGCUGCUGUACAACCUGAACAUCCUACUAGAUAACCUACAGCCUACAGAUUGAAAUGUUCAAAACAUCCAGCUGAAUUCUGAGUACUCUUCCUAUACUUUCUGAUCCAUGCCAAAAACCACAGAACCUGCAAGACAUCAAGAAAAGCAUAGCAGUCAGCAUCAAAGACUCGGAGUAGGGUUCUUUUUGUUUUUGCUGGAAGGAGACUCAGAGUAGGAUUAGUUUUUGUUUUAGAGUCUGAAUACUUGGUUGUGCUGGGGCUGCAAGACAACUAAUAGUCUGAAAAGUUACAUCGAAGUGACAGAAUAUGAUUAGGGUGAGCUCCCUAUGUCUACGGUAGAUGAUCAAGUUACUUCCACGCGUAUAGAUUGACUAACUUACAUCAAUUAUUUUAAAAACUAGCCUCCAUGUAGUUUAUAAUACAUAGUUACGUCUACCACUAUAGAGUAACCUGCACACACAAAAUACAAUAGGUUGCGGAUCAAGGACAUCUAAAAUGAUCAAAUUACAUAGUUACAUCUAGCAUUCAAAUUGUGACUACCUUUCCCAUCUAAUUAGUUUUGUUUUUAUGCUGUUGAGAUAGAACCAUGCAUAUGUUCUCAUUGAUCCCAUUCAAGUAUUCAACCACAAUAUUGUGCUUCCUACAAAAGCUCAACUAGUGCUCUUGAAAGUGAUCAAAUUUCUCUGAUAAUUUUGUGACUAUCACUAAUGACCAAAGACCCAUAAAAGUUCAUCCGACUAAUUAAGGUCCCCAACUAAUAACUGGUUGGCUGUGAUUUAAACAUGCACAAAAGAUGCAAGAUAGGAAGUCUGCAAUAAUGGUCGGUCUAGUAAAAGCACAUAUUAAAAUAGUGGUGUAGUCAUGACUUUUGAGACCGCGACCGACGACAACAGCAAAACCAAAGCGUUCUUCGGCGUUAUCGAGGAGAUCUAGGAAUUGGAGUACUUGAUCACAAAGAUCCCAAUGUUCUGUGUAAGAUGGACCAAAGGUGACAAAGCAGAAAGUCACAGGUUCACGACGAUGGUGCUACCUCCUGAGAUCCCUCGUGAACAAGUUGACGUGAGAAAAAUCCUGGCAAGAGAGGAGUCAUGGGUCUUUGCUAAACAAUGCAAGAAAUUAUUCUACAUAGACGACCCGGCAAAUAAAGGCCGCGUCGUAGUAAGAAGAGGAAAAAGAAGCAUUGUUGGAGUGGACGGAGUUAUUUCACAAGAAGACUACGAAGGUUUCCAUGAUCCGACGACCGCCGCAGAUGACGAAGAAGCGGAACGCACGACAUUAACGAGGAAAAGGAGAGGGAAAAGAAGAAGUGAUGGGAGUGAGAGCGAUAAAAUAUCACAAAACCCCUACGUCAGAAGCACUACUGCGAGGAGUCAAGUUAUGACUUACCGAAGGAAAGAAAAGCACUAGUAGUCACAUUGUUAUGUACUCGUACUGAAUUAGAAUGCAAACUUUGUACUAGGUGAAAUUAUGUGUGAUCGAUGUACUUUUGUGUAUGCAUGUUAAUACAUGGCUUUGUCACUCCUAAAAAGUCAAUCCAAAAUUAUAGGUAUUAUGUCAUGAAUUUUUUAAAUUAAAUUUAGCACAAAUACUAGACAAAAUGCAUGAAUUUAUUCAUCAAACUUUCACUUUUUUGUUUCAUCUAUUGAAUGUGACAAGUACAUGUCCUAAAACACUAAAAAGGACAGGUUUUAAUUUUUUUAAACGUUCUUGUAAUUUAAAUUGGUACAAAGCUCAACAGGUAUAGAUGCACAUCAGUAACGGUCGGCUGGUUAAUUGCCCGUUACUGAUGUGCAUCUAUACAUCAGUAACGGUCGCGAACUUACCGGACCGUUACUGAUGUAUAGAUGCACAUCAGUAACGGUCGCGUGGGAAGGCGACCGCCACUGAUGUGCUUGGGCAUAUAAAAGGAACGGCCGAAACCCUAGCCCGUUAAUCCUCUCGCCUGCGCGUCGCUUUCACAGCCGACCAGCAGUGGGCUCUCUCCUCCCCCGGGCGAAGCCCUGCCGGAUCUCCGCGCCGCCACUGCCGUCCUUCUCCUCCGCGCCAUCGACCUCCUCCUUCUCCUCCGCGCCUUCGACCUCCUCUGCUGUCCCGAGCCCUCGAGCCCGCCGCCGCUCUCGACCUCCUCCUCCUCCCCGAGCCCGAGCCCACGCCGUCUUCCUCCUCCACCCCGAGCCCAUGCCUCGUCGUCCGCCACGGCGCCCGGAGCCUGCCGCCGCUGAGCCCGCGCUGUCGUCCCCGAGCCCGACGCCGCCGUCUUCCUCCGCGCCGCCGCCCGCCGCCGCCGUCGACCUCCUCUGCGUCGAGCCCGCCGCCGCCCUCGACCUCCUCUGCGUCGAGCCCGCCGCUGCCUCCCUCCGCGACACCCCCGACGCCAUCCUCCUAACCCUAGGUGCGCGCGCUCCUCUGCCUCCCUCUCCUCUGAUUUCCAAGAACUAGGGUACAUGCUGGAAUUAGGGUUAGGAUUAGAACCAUAUUGUAUAUUCUGGAAUUAGGGUUAGGAAUAGAACAAUGUUGUAUAUACAUGCUGGAAUUAGGGUUAGGAUUAGAACAAUGUUGUAUAUACAUGCUACAAUUAGGGUUAGGAUGCUGGAAUUAGGGUUAGGAUUAACAAAUGUUGUAUAUACAUUCUGGAAUUACGGUUAGGAUUAGAAUAAUGUUGUAUAUACAUUCUGGAAUUAGGGUUAGGAUGCUGGAAUUACGGUUAGGAUUAGAGCAAUGUUGUAUAUACAUGUUGGAAUUACAAAUGUUGUUUAUAUACAUGCUGUUUGAAAGCUAUAUACAUUGUACAUGCUGUUUAUAAAUGUUGUUUAUAUACAUGCCGCUUUGGAAAGUGCUUCAUUUAUGUGAAUUGUGGGCCCGACCAUUGUGUCGGGUCAUUGGAGAAGGGGCCGGCCAUCGUGCCGAGGGGGUACAUUUGCGGGCGGGUUUUUUAUGCAGGUUUCGAGCUCCUAGUAGACAAAAUUUGCUAGUUUUUUAGCAUAGGUCAUGCCGAAAUUUUCGACUGAUAUAUAUUUGAUGGUUUUGAAGGCAUAGGUACGAAAUGGGCAAGAGUAGUCAGAAAUCAGUUCUUAAGGACGUAUCUCCUGAGGAGGUGUAUCGUGUCGAUGAAGAGUCUUCAUCGGCAGAGCAAAUUGCCAGCUCUGGCGGCGAUCCUAGCUCUGGCGAAGGUAGCUCUUGUUCAGAAGAGCAGAACAACGAGCGACGGGUGGAAGAGAGUAACCCGUAGCCAACUGCUUCUACGGCGAAGAAGCCAAGGAAAAAAGAUGCCGAGGGGGAGCCACAACUUGAAGAAGUUUUGCUACGUGGUCACCCGGCACUCUGACAGAGGCUGCCCGGAGUCGCCUGAGAGGGCACAGAAGGCCUUCGCAACCACCUGUGGAGCUGUUGCAUGUAAAUAUUGCAAGAUCACCAACGAGUGGAGUGACAUCUCCGAAGUCGUUAGAAACAUGUGCAUCGCGGACGUUGCAAGGAGGUUCCAAGUCACUGACGAGUGGCGCGAGCGAUUCCUAGCGUCCAUCAACAUAGCAGGGCGGAAUGGUCUUGCUACUUGGAAAUGUACCGCUAGAAAGUGGAUGGACAAACCUUACGAGAUCAUCAAGAAGAAAUGGCUGUCGAUAACUGAUGAGGCCGAAUGGGAAAAAUUCAAGAAGGAAUCGUCUGACCCUGCCUUCAUUGCGAGGAGUGAACGUAUGAGGGCGUUGCGCGCGAGAAAGCCCUUGAACCACAGGCUAGGGAGUGCAGGGAAAGAGGGGAAGAAGAAGGUUUGGUGCAAGCAGGACCGAAUUCUCGAGGCGGCAGGCAGGGUGCCUCCAGUGCAUAACAUUCUGGAGGAUAACCGUGCUAGAGAAUAUGCACGUCAGCACAUGACACCAGAGGAGUGGGCGGGCAUUGAGCCAAUGCAGCCGCCUGUUAAAAGUUUUACGGUAAAGGUUCACGUGCAUUAAUUUGUUUUCGGCGUUAAUUAUGACACUCAGGAUCCAUAUAGACUCACGUCAUGUCUUAUAUGAUAACAGGAAAAUGCCCACAAAUGGGAGGAGAGCAAGAGGUUUGAAACAUCCGCCGACUCCGUGCAGAGCAAGAGGUGGGAGUCGGCUGUGACCGCUGGCUUGCAAAAGACGGAGCUCAUGGGCCGUGUUUUAGGGGAAGGCGAAGGGGCCUGCUGGGAUGAUUAUUUCCCGCCUGCUCCGAAGCGAAGCAGGGUCCCUGCUUCUGCUGAAAUAAUAGAACAAGCUAAGGCGGAGGCGCGAGAGCAGGCAUCUAUGGUGUGUCAAGAGGUGUCAAGAGAAUAUGCAGUGCAAGACGUCCAUCAUUUGGUGUCGGCAUUGGCCAAAGACCACCCCGCCCUUGACGCCAUACUCGGGGGAGGAGUGGAAGGUUUGAGGAACCGCUAGCAAACCAGACCCAAGCGAGGGCAUCCAGGAUAACGAUCCGGGUCCGAGAGACAACAUCCUUGUAAGCAUACUUUUCAAACUCUUUUUCACUCCUUACCUUCAUGAAUAAAGAUCUUACACACAUAUGCCUUGUUCUUGUUACGUGCAGGCACCAGUGAAGUGUCGUAUUCACGUAGACAAGCCUAGGAAGCCUGUAGGCGCCAUUGGCCGCCUGAUGCCCAGACAAUCACCGCCACUGGUGCACGACAUUCUUAUGAACGACACACAAGUGAGUGUGAUGGUGGACUCCGUCAUCGAGGAGCAUCGUGAUUAUGCUAUCCCGCUACCUCCAGAGGAAGGCGUGGAUAUCCUAGGCGGUUGUCCAAACUACCGCAUUAUGUGGCCUAGGAGCUUGGUAUCUCUCUACAACCAGCGCCAGUCCUCUAUGACUCCAUCUCCCUCCGCCCACAAAGGUACUUCUCAAUCACCGCUCAGCCUUUCCCCUAGGAUACUGCCUCCUGUCGAUGCUGGCGGAUAUGAAGAGCAGGCAAUGUCGAUGCCUCCACAGCUUAAAGAUAGCCAGACCACAGGGUCGGCACAGGCUAGAAGCGUCCCUCCUACCUUCUCUCUCUUGGGUGCCGCUGAGUCCAUAGGUGGCCGCAAGAUCGAUGACAAGUACAAGGCAGAGGAGCAAAAGGCAUGGGACAAUAAGAGGAGGCAUAAAAAGAGGGGGCACGGCGGCAAGACCAUCAAGGACUCCUCGAAUGUCAAUCAUGGUGAGAUGCACUAUGUGCCUGACAUAACUGGAGUGUGGGAAGACAAUAGGCCUGACAUUCUCAUGAAGAACCCCCGUCAAGGCCAGAGAUUCGAAGACGGAUCCUAUUUCGUGGCUAGGAAGUUUGACCGGGUGCUUAUUUACUAUCCUGGAAGACCGAUGCUCACCGAAGAUUUCCUGCGUGCCGUGUCCAGAGAGAUGCAAGAGCUUCAUCAGUUCUACAUGCAAGCAUCAGCUGGUUCUCAACAGCAUGCCCAACAAAUUAAUGUUCAAAUCCUACGAGACUAUGGCUUCUUUGACCAAGAAACCGGGAGCAUUCAGGAACGUCUUAUCACCUUUGGUGUGGAGUUCAACGAACUGUUCUACCUCUUCAACCACCAAAAGCUUGAUAUCAACCCUUUUAAGGCUGUGGUCUGCCUACCAAAUAAGAGAAAUGCGGUAAAUCGAGGUCAAAAAAGUAGCCAUUAUAGACCCCGCGGUUAACUACGGUGACAUCGGUCUUGAGCCAGAAAAGGAUCCCUCAAGAAUCCUGGCGUCUAAAUACUUGGUGGCAUGUCUGGAAAAAUACGCAGACCACGACUACCUCCUCUUCUUCCUUAAUUUGGAGUAAGUUGAAUUUUAUAUAUGAAACCGUUUGUUUUUCCUAAUUUAGUCUUUCUUAUACACCCUUAGAUACUAAAGUUUGUUUUUUUUGAAAACAGAGACCAUUGGGUGACACUACUCAUUUGUUUGCCUUGGUCCGCAAUGUACUAUUUCGAUUCACUACUUCCGAAGAAGAGUGUUCGAGGUCACUACUGGAAACCCAUCAAAUCACUCAUUAACACUGCCUGGAAAGUUGCGACCAAGGGAAAACUAGCUGGUAAAGGCUAUAAAGUCGAGCCUCACCACAACCACAGGUUCCCUUGCCAGCAACAGCCGGCCGACAGUGUGUACUGUGGCUACUACUGCUGUCACAUCCUUAUGGAGAAUGCCAGCAUGUUUAAGCCUGAGUGGAAGGGUCAAUCGCGGUGAUGGAAGAGUACUGGCGGCCCCGAAUGACAAUGGGACACCAACCUAAAUGGGUUGUGUAUAACAUUCAAAGGGAGUUCGCCCAUCUCAUCAACAAUGAGGUCAUCAAGCCUAGUGGGGACUUCUACGAACGCGUGGAACAAGUGGUGACUAGGGUUCACCCACAACAAUAGUUUCAAACUUGAUUUUGCUAUGAGAUUUUGACACUUUGUAAUCAAUGUCGUGCAGUUAGAUACAUUUGUAUUCUUUAUAUGCUUUAAAUGAUGCGGCUUUAUAUACAUUUGUAUGCUUUAAAUGAUGCGGCUUUAUAUACAUUUGUAUGCUUUAAAUGAUGCGGCUUUAUAUACAUUUGUAUGCUUUAAAUGAUGCAGCUAUGUAUUUUUCUGUGCUGAGCAGUGUAUUCAAAUAUAUAUUUUUCUGUGGUUUUAAUUAAUUUUUUUAUUACUGAAAAUGUAUUAGUGUCGGUCGCUCGUCCGACACUGAUAUGGCAAAGUGACCGUUACUGAUGUACAUAUCAUCAGUGACGGGCGCGGAAACGUGACCGUCACUGAUGAUGGUCUUCAUCAGUAACGGUCGGGUCAGGCCGCCCGCCACUGAUGAUGGUACAUCAGUAAGGACGCAGCGACCGUUACUGAUGAUAGGUACAUCAGUAACGAUUGGAGCGACCGUUGCUGAUGAUACCCAUCAUCAAUAAAAGGAAGUUAGUAACGGAGGCCCCGACCGUUACUGAUGUUGUUUUCGUUACUGAUAAGUCUUUCUGUAGUAGUGUUGUCUUGUACUCCAAAUCUAUCUCCUCCUUUGUACCUCUAUAUAUACCCCAUAUGAAGAUCAGAUCAAUAACAAUAUCGAUUAUUGUGGAAUACCAAUUAGACUUUCAAUCUCAUAUUUCUACAUGGUAUCAGAACGGUUAGACUAACAUCACCAACUCUUGACACACAGCUUCCGCAUCAUGCCGCGUCCGGGGAGAUCGAUGGCUCCCAUAGUUUCCCCUCCGAUCAUCAUACCUGAGAUCGGUUAUUAAAUUAGAUGAGUUUCCAAUCAUAGAUUGAUUUCCUUAGCCAAAUAAAGUCUUUCAGAUCUAUCCACGACCCUCGAUCAGUGACAACAAAUCGAUGCAGAUCGAUGUGCAUACACCUGUGCUAUAUGCCUCCAGUGCUCCACGUCCUCGGCAGGCGUCCGCAAUCGCACCGGCCAUGCCCGGCACACGCACACCAGCAGCAUCGACCGGACUCCACGCGGUGCGAUGCACAGCGACGGCUUCUCCAAGCGACCAUGCAGCCCUGCCGAUCAGGCCGGGGAGGACGGAUCUGUGUCGAACUCACGAGCCCGAACAUGCAUACGUAUACGUACGUGCAAUCUUGCAUGCAGCCAGCAGGCCGGAGCCCUCCUCACAUGCUGCAUGGCAACACGAUCAUCAAUCCUUGAAGCCGGUUACAAGCAACAGCGACGCCACCAAGCGGAGUAUCGGUCUCCUAUGCGCCUGCACGGCCAACGACCAGAUCUGGCCAACUACGCGAGCCGGCCGGUGUCUACGACGAGCAUCUGCACCAGCGGCAACCACGACAUCUACGAGCACACGAACGACUGCACCGACACAACGCCGAGCUGUACGACUACAUCAGCCCAGCUACAGUUACCUCUUCGUCGAGUACAUCUACGAGAAGCACAUGCAUGCACCAUCCACACGACAGGCCGGUGUGGAACGACAUGCAAUCAUCAACUUCUCAGGCACGACAUGGCGUCGACACAUCGUCGCCACAAGGGACGCCUUCAAGCGACGCACCAUCAUCGACAAGCCUGCAAUAGCCACGCCGACACUCCAUCGCCAAAGGUCUUCAUCAAUGUGGUCUCCAUCAACAAUCUUCGUCAACUAGCCGCCGCCACGUCCACACGGAUGGACAUCUCCCGCGUCCUCUGACAGUUCAACUGCAAGACGCAUCAGCAAUGACGGCAUACCCGCGUUAGCUUCAUCGGCGAUGGCAUCCCCGCGUCAGCGACACCGACGCUGGCUUGACCGCGUCCGACGUAGAGCAACUGCAUCGACACCGGCAUCACUACCUACACGGUGCACACGGUUCUGGCAAAACCGUUGUGUGCGGUGGGCUACCUCCAAUUUUGGCAAAAUUGGUGGUCUCACCUACGACCGCGUCCUCUGACAUCCGCAAGACGCCCUCGAAGGUACCUCUCAAGGUGCAAAACGUCGGCCCCGACGGUACCAUGUGACUUCCACAAGGUGCAAAACAUCCCUGAUUGCAGCUCCGUCAUACACAUCGCGCUUUUUUUUUGCGCCUUCGGUUAUUUGCGGGUCCAUCCACUUCGACGACGACUACUACCUCGACCACGGCUACAUCAUGAUCGGCUACCUCGACAUCGACAUCAAGGGCUACGACGUCUACAGCGACUCAUCGGCAACAACUCCAGUCAAAGCAUCCGCGUCGUCACUAGCGUCCACGACACUCCCGCUAUGACUGCGGGAGGGAAUAGAGGAGAGACAAGGGACGGCACCAGAAGGGGACGGUAGGCACCGCUCCAGGUGACGGACCAGUCCAUUAGAGACGCAGUUGAUGAUGGCGAAACGGAGAAGACGACGGAAGCACAAGACUUUAAAUCCAAUCACAAUCGUCCGCUUUGCUCCCGCUACGACUGAGGGGGAAUGUUAGAGAUAUAAUACGGUUGGGAUUAGAGAUAAGAUAGAAUUAGUUUAAGCGAGAUUACUUCCCUUGUACUCCAAGCCUAUCUCCCCCUUUGUACCUCUAUAUAUACCCCCCCCCCCCAUAUGAGCAUAUGAGGGUCAGAUCAAUAACAACAUCAAUAUUGUGGAAUACCAAUUAGGCUUCCAAUCUCGUAUUUCUACAUGCCAUCAUCAACUGCGUCUCUAAUGGACUGGUCCGUCACAUAGGGUGGUGCCUACUGUCCCCUUCUGGUGCCGUCCCCUGUCUCUCCUCUUUUCACUUGAUGUGUACCUCUUCGAUCGGGGCCACAACGUUGGCCUCCCAACGAUGCGUGCCAUUGCGGUGGGUGUUGCGAGGGGCCUCCGAUACCUCCACAAGGAGUGCCAACAGAAGAUUGUGCACUACGACAUCAAGCCCGGAAACGUGCUCCUCGACGGCAGUCUCACCCCGAAGGUGGCCGAUUUCGGACUCGCACAAGUGUUGAAUCGGGCUGACACGCACAAGACUAUAUCUGGGAUGCGCGGCACCCCAGGGUACGCCGCACACGCACAAGACUAUAUCUGGGAUGCGCGGCACCCCAAGGUACGCCGCACCGGAGAUGUGGAUGCAGGCUGGCACCACGGAGAAGUGUGACGUGUAUAGCUUUAGCAUCCUUCUGUUCGAGAUCCUCGCCAGAAGGAGGAACUUCAACGAGGCUGCGCCUGAGAGCCAGCAGUGGUUCCCCAAGCUGGCUUGGACCAAGUACGAGAGCGGUGAGCUUAUGGAGAUCGUGGAGAGUUGUGGGAGCAUCAACGAGAAAGAUAAAGAGACGGCGGAGAGGAUGUGCAAAGUGGCGUUCUGGUGUGUGCAACAACAGCCAGAGGUGAGGCCGCCAAUGGGUGUGGUGGUGAAGAUGCUCGAGGGCGAGAUGGACAUAGCUCAACCGACCAAUCCAUUCCACCAUCUCAUGGCGGUGCCAGUGGCUGCAAACUUCUGGACUAGCAGCGAGAAUAGCCUAAACUUGGCGAAUUCUAUGCUGGCAGCUAGGGUUUCUCAUGGUAGCAACGACGAGAUCAUCUCGGAGCGGUCUACCAAUACUCACCAGUACUAGUGGAGUGCCCGUGCGUUGAGUACGGACUGACAAAUUCAUGUGCGAUGCUUAACUGCUUAAGAAUAAGCAAAAAAUAUAAUAAUAUGUACAAAAAUAUAAUAAGCAAUUAAGCAUAAAAACAAAUUAAAUGAAGUCAUCAUGGGUGACGAAGUUCCUAUUAGACGGCGGAUCGAGCGUAGCUCGGGCUGAUGAUGAAGUUCCAGCGAGACAGUGGGUCAGGUUGAGCUAAGAUGUCGUAGAAUUUCUAACUAAAAUUUGCCGCGACGGUAAUGACGUUAAGAUACCCAAACAUAUUUGCCAUUAGCCUACCAUCUUUCAUCACCUGUAUAGUCAACAAUCCAAGCAAUAUGGCAACAAAAUUAGAAGAUUAUUUCCUAAUGUAAUAAUUAUGAGCAAUAAUAAACUUUCAGUUAAUGUGACCAAGCUUGCUUCCGGUCUGAGUCAGAGGGGCUAACACACUCCUGACAACACCUAACUUCGGAACCUCUUCCCUUUCUUACCCGUGUUUGAGGAUUGAGCAGAACACACAGUUUUCCAAGUUUUCCAAUAACUAACAGCCCUCACAAAUGUUCCAAUAACUAACAGCCUCAUUUUCUUACCCUAAAAAAAACAGCCUCACUUUCCUAAGAGCAAAAUACACAAGUAUCUACUAAUUCUGGACUGGAUCAGAUUGAGAAAACAAAUACUGCACUGGAUAAGCUAGCAAAAUACACAAGUAUCUACUAAAUCGUGUAGUAUAUAUGAGUGUAAUUUCAAGUUCCAAGAGUGCAGUACAUUGUAUACAAUUAUCCAGAAUAAAGAGCAGAGAUUCAAUCAGAUGACCCAUAAUUUCAUGAUUUAACUCUACUAAUUUUCUGCUGUACAACUUCAGUUGCCUAUAGACUCGCUUCAAUCAGAAAGAAGAGCAGAUGAAUAAAUUACAGAAGGAAUGCUCUGAAAGUGAAAAGGCACACAACAAUGAGGUACCACUGAUUGGAUGAGGCACCGGUGCUGGAGCUACCAGUGAUUAAGAGCGCUACUGCCCACGGUGCUGCUCCUGGCACCUUCUGAUCACUGGUCACCUCGGGCACGAAAGAGAGCGAGCCUGCGACACCCAACACCUGCCGGCCGCCGUACCCGCGCGGGGGAGGGAUUUUAAAGUACCUAGAGCACGACGAAACGCGGUCCUGACAUGAGAACAUAGUAAAAAGAAAAAUACCCUUAGCAAGAUGAACCAGAGAUUACAAAUUUACACUUGCUGGAAAAAUUCCGGAGAUCAUGACAUGAGAACAUAGUAAAUAUUGCUUUUGUGGUGCGUUCUCGGAGUACCUUUCUGAGGGUAUGAGAGUAGAACAUGAGUCUCUUAAUGUCAGCUACCUGCACAGCGAGAUUAUGAGAACAGAAAAUAAUUGGAUGUCUUCAAGUUAACUGUCAAGCAUUGGUUCCCAGAGAAAAGCACUGAGACGCUACAUAAAUAUAGAGUUGAUUCCACUCAGGGAAUGCCAAUCCAAAUUGGCAUAGAAAAUGAAAUUGGCAUAUAGUUCAUAGCAACUCGCACAACGAUAUAGAAAUUUACAGGUAAAGCAAACUACAGGAAACUGCCACUCUUCUACCAAGCCAUGAAAUUUACUACAUUACAGAACUGGCAGACAUUCUUGAUAGAGAAGUUAUCACCUCAACCAGUGGCUUCUUUCCAUGAAGUAGCAUAUCCACACUCCUCUCAGUCUGCACAAGAGAGACACACCAUAUAUUAGCAUUCAUCGCAGGUUGAGAAAAGAAAAGUACAUUUCAUUUUUCUUGUAAACAAAGGUGAGCAGAUUACAUUCAGGUAAUAUAUCCUGAGUUCUGACAAUAUUCUUGGUAAAAUAGCAGAGCAACAAUAGGAGAAGCAAAUAAUUUUCAGAUAAUUCCUCAAGGAUGAUAUAUAACAAAAGGCGAGCUUAGAAAAGAUAAGCAUUAUCGCAAACGGCAUUACCGCACUAUAUUAGCAAAUUUGGUCCAGCAAAAGAUUCCCCUUUAAAAACUAACACCUCCUCAUCUGUUUGACUUGAAGGUAUUGCAAGUGAUUACUAUAAGACAGACUACAAGGAUCAGUACAGAUUAGAACAUUUGAAGCAAAACCAUGAGUUGAGAUAGAUAUCAGCAGUAUGAAAAUUUGAUGCCCGUGUAGAUCCCUAUUAAUUUGUACCCUUUCCACAGAAUCCCAGUAACACAUUCAUCGUAAUCUUAAAAUGACAAGAUAUAUCACUGUGCAAACCUGAUACUUCUACACGGUUUCGGCCUAAAAUUUUAGACCUGAACGCCCUUGACCAUGUUAACACAAAGCUGAAAAGAUACAUACUUGAUACUUGUCCACAUUGACCAUUUGACAUAUAUAUUCAUACCCGUUGAGUCACCCAAUAGUGUCGCUCCCUCACCUCAAUAAGGAAAGGGAACGUUGGAUAGGUAGUGCACUCCACCACCUAUCUAGAGAUUUCAGAUCUUGUGAAUCAACACCCAUUUGAAGAUAGUACCUAAUUCAUGCAUCAAUUAUGCAUUACAUUAGAAGCUGGUGAAAUAUCUUUAUCAGAUCUUGGCCUCAUUUGAAGAAAAUAUAAAAUAAAGAGUUCUAAAAAUAAUCAGUGGAUUACAGAUGGAAAUAGAAGAAAAACUAAGGUGACAGUACCUGAAUCCUGCAAGCAACAUCUCCCUACAAAUUUAAACUGAAUUGGAAAGACAGAGUAAGAUUCAGUUGCAAAACAUUAGACCAUGCUCUUCUAGUGGUUACCUGCAAGUGCAAAGAAUAACUUGAUUAGUGUAUUAGGCCCACAUAAAUUGGACUCAACUAAAAUCGUUUUCCUAGAACUUGAAGAACAUUGAAAAAGAGAUCUAGAACGCUGAAACAGAAAUCUUGACACACAUAAACUAUAUUUUAUUAUUUGUACUUAUAUAUAGUUCUAGGCAAAAAUCCUCUAAUUUAGGCUAAAGCAUUACAUACAAGCAAGUAUCGGUAGCUUAAUGAAGGAUAAGUAUGCGGCAAUGAUUGCAUCAUAUGUUGUUACUACCAUCAUUCCCGAACAAUGCAGAACUAACUAAAAAUAAUUGGACUGUCAAAGCUUAUAACAUUUUUGAACGAUAAUAAAAGAUUAAACAUCAGUGAACACAUCAUAUGCAAGGCCAAAGCUUAAUGAAAGAUAACACUGCAACUGUUCGUAAAAUGGACACUGAGAUAAUCUUUUGCUUGAAGAAUCAGACAUCAUGGACGUACUGUUCAGAAAAUUUAUUUCAGAUUCAAAAUGUAUCAUCUAAAAGACUUACAUUAUGUGAUCCACAAGUUUCACGGACUGUUGGGACGCAAGGUAUCAACAAGAAAUUUAGAAUAGUUACUGAAUGUCUGAAUAUAAACAAACUCUAACAAAAAGACAGGCACACAUACCCCAAUUAUCUGUUCUCCACAGAGGUUGUGCUUGUCAGUGCCCCAAACGGGCUCGGUGAGAGUUUUGGGAGGGGACCUGAACCCGUAUGUGGUGUUGGGAAUGGCGACGCAAGCGGAGGUGAGCAGCGCGGAGGACGACCAGCCGGAUUCUGAAUCUUCUGGCGGCGGUCGAGACAAACCGAAGUGGAGAUCGCGAUUCGCUGCAUCAGCCAGCAAAGAGGAGAGUGAUCGAGGGGAUGUGUCGGAUGAGGAGGCGUGCUGGGGAAGGAUAUGCAGGUGGCGGUGGCCGGGGGCAAGGCGGUUGCGGGCGGAGGUGAUGGGGAACGGCGAUGAGGUACCGAUUUGGGGUCAAUCCGGGAUAGGCCGGGGAGGAGCUCCGGUGGGGUGGAGGGGUCGUGCAGAACUAUACAUCGUAGGAGGGCUGACGGCAAGAUGGGCGGGUGAGCAGUUGCGGGGGCUUGUUUCUGAUCGGGUGGGUAGGGCAGCGGAGUAGCUACGGAAGCGGCGGCGUGCGACGGCGGCAGAACUCUGAGGCGUGCUGAGUGGGGAGGAGGAGAACUGGGAAGCGGCGGCGGCAGCGGAUGCGGAGGCGCGGGUUCGGAAGAGGAGAACGGGGAUGUGUAUAGGCGGCAGAGAGGAGGUGUGGCCGCAAAGUAUCGGGAAGGCCGGACGGCGACUUCGUGCUGGAAAGGAUGUUAGAGGGCGGCGGCGGCAGCGGCGGAGGCGAGGAAGGGCGGCGGCGGAGGCGGGGAAAAUCCUAUCAGGAGAGAGAUGCGAGCGAAGGGCAGGUAGCGACGGGGAUCCGGGUUUUUUCUCCUUUUCGAUUUUCUCGCGCGUGGUUCGGGGUAGGACGGACCAAAGUAAAAUGAAGAUAAAGAUACCUAUACAAAAAUAAAGAUAAAGAUACCUAAGCAAACCCGGACCGGGCUUCAUAAAGCCCGACGGGAAAACCUCAAACCCGAGCCCGGCCCGGCCCGAAGCCCGACAAAAGGACCAUUUUAGCAUUAAAGUAAUUGUUUUGGAAAUAAAUAAAUAAUUUUUUAUACAUAUUUUUUCUAAAAAAUACCCGUUUUUAUUCAUUUCGGGCUUUCGGGCCGGGCUUGGGAACUAGAAAGUGAAGCCCGAGCCCGGCCCGGGACGUUGGGCUUCGGGCCGGGCCACGCCACGUAUGCCCAAGUAUACUCACUGGUAAGGGCAAGUGCAUUAAUAGAAAGGCAUGUUUCACAUCUUGAUGUUGCAUUAAAAAUACUGGUUGUCAUAGCUAUCUACGCUAUAUUUUCCAUCUAAUUGAAUAAAAUGUCACAUAUCACCACUCAUUCCUUUUCUCAAUACACGGUGCAUUAGAUUUCAAAGAGAAGGUUUUGGCAAAUGAUUACUUCAUUAACAUGUGAAAGCAAACCAUAGGAUUUUGUUGUUCCGAAAUAUUUCCAUGCUAAUUCAGAAGAAUCGUGUAGGAAAUUGAAAACAGAGAGAGUUUAUUUUACUGUGUUGAAUAGAGAGAGUUUUUUUUUAGCGAGAAUAGAGAGAGUUAAUUCCAUGGGAAGCACAAACGUUUGUUCGGCCACAUUCUUCCUGGGCUUUGGCCCAUCUAACAAGCCAGGCCUGCAGCGUAGCGGCCUUUCCUCGUUCGCCUCUGCCAUAUUUCACGAGCACACACGCAGCGCCGCUCGCCGGUGCAAAUGGACGCUUGUUUGGCUAAAAAAAAAAAUGGACGCUCGAAAUUCCUCUCCCUCGACCCUUUAUAGCAUCAUCAGAAGAUGGCAAGACGCUAGUUCAGCAGAAAAUGGGCCUAGCUAGGAUGAUCGAGGCUUGUUUGUUAGCAUCACCAGAAGAUGGCGAGUCCCAUGGGUUGGGCACAUUUCCAGACAUCUGUUCAAGCCGAUUUGGGAGUGAAUGAACGAAUGAAAUAAAGCAAAUCUUACUAGGUUCAGGCUGCAUCUAUACUCAGACAUGUUGAUAGCUGAUGAAUAUAUAGGAGCACUCGUUCAACAAGGUGAAGAUAAAGAUAAGAUAGGUGUACGGAAACAUUGCUCAGAAAGAAACACAUCUUAUAUAGUAGGAGCGUUAAUUCACCUAGGCGAAGAUAUAAAAGAAAAAUAAUAUUUCCUCCGACCGGUAUUAUUUGUCUCAAAUUUGCUCAAAUACGGAUGUAUUUAUGUGUAAAACGCAUCUAGAUACAUGUAAUAUUUCGACAAGUAAUUCCGGCAGCAGGGGUACUGAAAUCUUGCACUCGCAUGUCAUAGUGUUGACGAGUAGAUACGGUGGAUUUCCUCAUGUUACCAUACAUCAAGAUGAUACGCAAAAUCCCAUGAAAUCCCAUGAUCAUGAGAUCUCUGUCUCUCUAACCCAAAAGGUCUACGGAACAAAACUCUUCUUUUAUGAUGCGCAAAAUCCACAGUGUCACAUCAACAAACACGACGAAAGAGAAAAACACAGCGAACUUCAACUGACAACACCCGGAGAUAUUGAGAAAGUCCUUCAAUGCAACGCCUUCAAAAAUAGAUCCAACCAUUGGAUCAGGUCAGGGAUUUUUACCUCAUUCAGCAGGUUCGACUAACUUCAAAAAUUGCCUUCAAGGAAGUAAAACACGCGUUCACGGCCGUUGUCAUUUCCAACCAAUUAUUAAGAUCAGACCUGGGAAUUUCUUUUACAAGCGAUACUUGACGACCAGUCAUCGCCAUUCCUCUCAGUCUUGACAAACAGCGGUAGGACACGAACUCAAUCAAAGGUCCCGGCACAGCCCAGAGAGGACAUCCCAAUGGACAAAUCGACACUGCAAGUUAUGCAUGAUAUAUAUCGACCCAACCGUCAGUGCCAACAUGAGAUUUUGAUUUUGUCUUCUAUAUUAUUGCACAUCUCCUUAAGUACAAUCAGAUGCAAAGUGUUGAAGCUAAACGAUCUCAUUGCUACCAUGAUGAACACCAUUUACCGAUGCUGACACCGUGUUUACACUGCUCGUCACGGUAGUCCACAGGUUUGCUGCCACCGGCGCCGCCAUGAGAUGCAGGAACGGGUUCGCCGGUUCAGUUAUGUCCAUCUCGCCCUCGAGCAUCUUCACCACCGUGCUCAUGGGCGGCCUUGCCUCCGGCUGCUGCUGCACGCACCAGAACGCCACCAUGCACAUCCUCUCCACCGUCUGCUUGUCCUGCUGAUCGCCCAUGAUCUCCAUAAGUUCCCCGCUCUCGUACUUAAUCCACACCAUCUUGGGGAACCACUGUUGGCUCUCGGGCGCUGCUUCGUCGAAGUUCCUCCUCCGGCCGAUGAUCUCAAACAAGAGGAUGCCGAAGCUGUACACGUCGCACUUUUCGGUGGCGCCGGCUUGCAUCCACAUCUCUGGUGCGGCAUAACCGGGGGUGCCACGCAUCCCAGAGACGGUCUUGUGCGUGUCAGCCCGGUUCAGUAGCUGUGCAAGCCCAAAGUCGGCCACCUUGGGCGUGAGGCUGCCGUCGAGGAGCACGUUGCCAGGCUUAAUGUCGUAGUGCACGAUCUUCUGCUGGCACUCCUCGUGGAGGUACCGGAGGCCCCUAGCCACGCCAACAGCGAUAGCGCGCAGCGUCGGGAAGCCGAUACCACGGUUCCGAUCAUCGAAGAGGUAGGCGUCGAGCGCGCCGUGCUCCAUGUACUCGUACACCAGUGCGCGCACGCCAUGGGUGGCAGAGUCGAAACAGAAGCCAAAGAGCCUGACAAGGUUGAUGUGGUGGGUCCUCCCGAUGGUGCCGACCUCCGCCAUGAACUGGUCCUGGGAGGUCCGGUCAUCGUGGGUGGUGUGGAGCCGCUUCACGGCGACCAUGAGACCGUUGGGUAGCAUGCCCUUGUACACGGUGCCGAACCCGCCGGCGCCGAGCCGGGCCGAGUAGUUGUUGGUGAAACCAGAGAGUUGCUCCGGGGUGAAUCGAAUGGGCUUCUCGCCCGCGAUCUCCUUGAGAAACCUCUCGACGGUAGCCUCCCGUAUCUGAGAGUCCGGCACCACCGCGUACAUAGCCGAUGCCGUCGACGAUGAUGAUGCCGCGGCAGCGGUCGUGUUGAUGUUGAUGGCGGGGAGGCCGUUCUUCUUGACGCACCUGUACACGAAGUAGACUAUGGCGACGGUCCCCAGGAUGCUCAACACCCCAAAAACUGCAUGUCGAAAUUCAGGUAAACAUGCGCAAAACAAAACAAAAAUUGCUCUUGAAAUACGAUUUAAUGGCUGGGACUUGUGCGCUCACCGACGGAGAUGACGAGGAAGUUGUUGAAGGUGCUGGAGGCUUGUUUGCCGAGAUCGUCGUUGGGAGACGAGGUUGGGAAAUUGUUGGAGUCCCCAGGCUGGAAAUUAGACGACAUUGUUGACGAAAUUAAUUGGUUUGGGAAAUGAAACGGCCGGCUGGAUAUCGAUCGUUUAAUUAACUAGCCUGCAGAACGCCAAUCUCUACUCGAUCGUUGUAUAUGUAGCAGGAUCCAUCCACCCACAAGAAAAAUUAAUGUGGAGAAGCACGCAGUCCACGUACUCCGGUCAGUCAACACUUCAAUAUUAUCCGGCACGGCAGAUUAAUUGACCGGCUGUGUGGACUUAAUCCUAGGCGAGGGACAGUUGACUUGCUGUCAGCUAGUCCAUGCCAAUUACUGAUACGUACAGUACUUCCUAAAGACGCUGCUGACCGCUGACCAUCCUGAUCGAUCCGGCUCGGCUCUCCGUCCAGUCGAAUACUCCCGCCAUCUCAUAUUAAAUGAUUUUCUAUUACAUGUAUUUAGACAUAUUUUAGUAUAUAUAGAUACGUCCAUAUUUAAACAAACUUGAGUCACUUAAUAUGGGACGGAGGAAGUAAUUAUUAGUAAGUACGGGGACGUGUAAAAUGGACUGAUGUCAGUCUUUUCUUAACGAUGCCAUGUUGGAUAAAAUCUGAUGUGGAAGAGAAAUGAACGAAGGAAAUACAUAUGCAUUCUCUUAAUUAAGAGAUGAUCUCUUCACAAGAAGGAUAAGGCAAAGAUAAAACAAAAAUUUCAUCUUUUCUUAACCUUUAUUUUGUUAAUUUUAUUCAUCUAAUCAUUAAUCGUAAGAUAUGCACUAAGAGAUAACAUAUCGUACAACAUAUUUUGUUGUCUUCUUAUAAGGUAGUUUUAUCAAGCACUGUGCAUGCCCGGCCUUAGUCGUUUACCCAAACCCAACCAAUUAACUUUGAGAAACCCAUUCAGAGAUAAGAGUAAAUUUCAGAAAAUAACAGCUUUUUUUGGGCAUACAUAGUUUUUAGGGCCAUUUGUGUCAAGUAGUUUUUCCGGGUAUGCCGGGAAUAAUUAUUCAGCGCAGUCGCGUCGUUAAAGCACACUUAACGAAAAAAUUCUCCACAAAACCAUAGGAGCAGACAUUUUUCAGUGUGUGCGCGCGCGGGGGAGCUAGCUAGCUAGCAGUCAUCUCUGCAUUCAACAAGGCGAAGAUUAGCUAGCUUGACAGCUUCCAGGAAAGAACGGGGAUGGUCAAGGAGACGUAGCAAGACCCUCACACUCACAUGUCAUAGUUGACGAGGAGAUACGGUACUGGGUAGAGGCCCGGCCGGCAAGCAUAAAAUAGCUACAUCAACCGGGUCUUCUCCGCGAUUUCCAUUUGUUGGUCGCACCACUGCGUGCCAGGUAAUAUGAGGACAGGGAUGCUUUUGGAGCUCAGGCUCAUUGGAGUGCGAUAUUUUUAAAAAAUAAAUAAAUAAAUCAUAUUUCUAAGUUUUAAAGGAUCCUGAUUUUCUGUAAACAUAGAUGUAUACUAUGUACCUGUAAAUAUUCAUCAAGAAAUACGUUAAUUUGUGAUCUGCCAAAAAAAAUCACAAAUCUGUAAAUUCUACACAUUACAAUUCUAGAUCUACAUAUUUGCGACUUUUGCAUAGAGCGCGAAGUAUACAUCUAUAUAUAUUUACAUUGGAAAACAAUCAUUUUUUGUUAAACUACAAUAUUAUUUUUAUUAAGUUUUAAUAAAGGGCUCGGCGUAAACCGGGAGCUAAAACACCAUGUUUGACAAGGAUAGACUUUUUGAGAGUCUUGUGUUCCGGACCCUAGGACAAUGUUCCUACAUACUGGGAGUAUCACGCAAAAAUCACCCAUAUGAUCGAAGCCGGGGGAAAUACUGAAAGUUUCAGAUUUUUGUUAAAUAAAAAUAAUAGUUUGGUUGGAGGGGUGAAAUACUGAAAUCCUAUAAACAUGCUGUGUCUCCCCUUUUUGAAAAAAAAAACACUCACAUUCAUUUGAGAGGUUCGUAAAAAUACCAAAUUCAGCAAUGAAUAGCCUUCCAAGAAGGCUACGACCUCUGCUCCAAAUUAUAAGAAGUUUGGGAGGCUAAGCGUGCCGUCACUGGAUGUACACCACCCAAAGAAAAGAAAAUGUAGCAGUCCACGCUAGCAAUCAAAACGGCAAAAUUAGUUAAGAUCCUUGAAGAGAAAUGUCAGGCGAACAAGGCGACCUAGUCGACACUCAAAAUUUUCUUUUUGAUCUGGGAAAGCAACCUCCAUUACUUCAGUAGGAAGUUACUACCAACUUCAUUAUUUUACAGGAGAUUCCAUCACAUGGAUACCUGCAGUCACUGAACAUGAUAGGACAGCACCGGAUCCGGCAGAUAAGAUCUUGGAAAGAUGGUGCGCCUCCAAGGGACAGGGAGAUUGUGCAGAAGCGCCACGAUCAUUCGAUCCGGGAAAACCGGGGUCCGUCCGAUGUUUUCCUCCCGACUCCAGGCUUCAGUUUGCGGCCGAGCUUGCAUCGUUUCCCACUUCUGUCUACUCGAUCCGAACGAGUGAACGACGGUAGCAGCGACAUCUUCCUCUUCAGCUCUGCUUCAUCUUCUUGAACACAUGUCAAUUGCUUGAUUGGAUAUGUGUUGGCAGAUUUUGAUCCCAAAUGGUCGUACAUUUGUUUGUGCCGAGAGCUGUUUGUAUUGCAUUCACUGUUUGUAUUGUAAAUGGCCAAUCAAGCAAACUUGGUAUAUGGAUUUCUAUUUAUGAUCACGUGAUUGUUGAUGAUGAAAUGUGCAAAAAAGUCAAACAAUCAUGUUGAAAUGAGUAGGUAAGCUCGCCAUGUAGGUAACCACAAUCUUGGGCAAUGCAAAUCUAUCAACCAAACACGAAAUGGGUUCGUCCUGCCCAUUUUGACUCAGCCAACCAAAUACGAAUUCGACUCACACCCAUCUCAACCAAACACUCACCUUGAAUGGCUCCACCCCUAAAUCCGGUUGGCCGCAACCCAUCCAAUUUCAUCCAUCAACCAAACACACCCUAAACCGGAUGGGAAUUCGAAUCAGUUUCCUAAAAACUUUUAAAUUUUAAGAAAGACUUUCAGUUUGUUGAAAAAGAGCGAACUUCUAAAAUUGUGGAUGAGCGUUCAACAAAUGUUGACAAACUUUUGGACUUUCAGAAACGAACAUUCUAUUAUUUUGACAAACUUUCAAAAUUUCUGGAUGAACCUUCCAAUUGUUUUUGACAAACUUUUAAAAAUUCAGAUAAACUUUUAUUUUUUAAAAAUUGACUUCCUUUUUUCUACCGACUUCCAAAUUUUAGAGAUAAUUGUUUCUAGCUAAGUUUUUUGCAUCCUGAUGUGCUGGCCUUGGCUUGCUUAGCGUAAAGGCUGAUUAGCGUGAAGCACGUUUCGUCCGCACGGCGCAAAGCUUCGAGCAAAAAGUUCUUCCGUUCAUUUAAAAAAUAAAUCAAAACACUAAACCCUUACACUCGUAUCUCAAAAGUUGACGAGGAGAUACGGUCUUGUCCUUUGACGAGGAGUACACCAUGGUUGGAUCAACCAAUAGAAGGACAUUGAGAAUGGUCGUUCAAUGCAAUGCCUUAAAAAAAUGGGAUGAUGGGCCUGCGUCACAGUUGGUAGAUCCAACUAUUGGGCUAACCUAUAAAAAAACUAUUGGGCCAGGCUAGGGAUUUUACAAAAAAAAAUCUUUUUCGAAAGGGCAGACAUCCAUUUCCAUUGCAGAGUUGUUAUAAGUUAGAGAUCGUGUAAACAAAUAUAAGCCGGCCGAAAAGAUCAAAUAAAGCGAGUCUAGACAACUAAGCGUCUAGUACACCGGCAGCUGAACAGGAUCGAAAAUCUCCAAAUAAUACCUGAACAAGGAAGUAACAGACUAAUACGCAUUAACGACCAUUGUUAUGUCCAAGCAAUUCAGACCACAUCUGGGCUUUCACACAGGUACAUGAACGACACAACCAAACUGAUGUCCUCCCUGUGCUUUCACGCCAGCUUGAUCAGUGUCUUGUCUUAAUCACCAACAUAUGCAAAGUGUUCAAGCUAAGCGAUCCCGUCGCUACCACGAUAAACACCAUUUACCGAUGCUGAAACAGUGUUUAUGCUACUCGUCCCGGAGGUCCACAGGUUUGCUGCCAUCGGCGCCGUCAUGAGAUGCAGGAACGGGUUCGCUGGCUCGGCAACGUCAAUCUCUCCCUCGAGCAUCUUCACCACCGCGCCCAUCGGCAGCCUCGCCUCUGGCUGCGAGCUCUUUUACCGUACACCGAAUUUAAUACAGACCGUUUAUUUGUCCCGAUCCAAUGAUCGGUAUAAUUUGGCACUCCACGGUUGAUUCUAUGAAGUACCGGGUCAAAAAUUACUGGAGUUCCUUGAUUUGGAGGGUAAAAUAGUAAUUUGGGGAGGAUAUUUUAAUCUGUCUCGUCCUAACCUGAAUCGUUACUUUCACUUUCCAAUAAAAAAGACAAAUGAUUCAGCUUUGACCUAACCCCGCCGCCGCUUGACUGGCCUGCCACACCGGCGUAGCGGACGAAGGUGCGGAUGAAGCAUAAGCGGCACUGCCGAGCUCCUUCAUGCAUGCAACGGAUAAUGCGGUGCCGCCACCCACCCUUGCAAAUGAUCCUAGGCUAAUUAAGUUGGUUUGCUCUCUCGAGGGUUGAUUCGGUGUAGUGGAUAGUAGUUUUGAUCUCUUUUUUUAUAGAACUCGAUCGAACCAUGAGCAAAUUCGAUUCAACUGCCCAGAUGUGGAUGCAUUAUUUGGGAUGUGCAGAGAGAACCGCUAGGAACCCAAUUUGUGCCAUGAUUGAUUCAGCUAAUUAAACACUACACGAUUAAUCAAAUAAGCCAAUCAAGGUGCCUAGCUAGCUUUGAACAGAUCAGGUUGUUGAUGGCAUGUUGAAGGAGGCGCCCGAGAUGCCAGACUCCAGACGCCUAGGAUGAGACGGGUGACAUGCAUUACGACGGAGGAUCGCCGUCCGUCCAUGGUGACGAAGGACGAGGAAGUAGUGUGCUACCAGGAUACCGGAGUAGAUUAAGAUAAAACAUAAUAUUACUCAUAAAUUAGCAAAAGAAAUCGACCAAUUUACCCUUCAAUUGGACGGUCAGAUUUACUUGGUACUCCAGCCUCUAGUCAAGGAGUACCAGGGUACCGUAAAAUUCCUCCCGGCUGCUGCUGCACGCACCAAAAUGCCGCCUUGCACAUCCUCUCUGCUGUCUCCUUGUCCUGCUCGCCCAAGAUCUCCAUAAGCUCGCCGUUCUCGUACUUGAUCCAUGCCAUCUUAGGGAACCACUGCUGGCUCUCUGGCACGGCCUCGUUGAAGUUCCACCUCUGUCCGAUGAUCUCAAACAAGAGGAUGCCGAAGCUGUACACGUCACACUUCUCGGUGGUGCCGGCCUGCAUCCACAUCUCAGGCGUGGCGUACCCGGGGGUGCCACGCAUCCCCGAGACGGCCUAGUGUGUGUCGGCCCGGUUUAGCAGCCGUGCGAGCCCGAAGUUAGCCACCUUGGGUGUGAGACCACCGUCGAGGAGCACGUUACCAGGCUUGAUGUCAUAGUGCACGAUCUUCUGCUGGCACUCCUCGUGGAGGUAUCGAAGGCCCCCUGGCCACGCCAAUGGCGAUGGCGCGCAACUCCGGGAAGCCGAUGCCGCAUCUUCGGUCAUCAAAAAGGUAGGCGUCGAGUGCACCAUGCUCCAUGUACUCGUACACCAGAGUGCGCAUGCCGGUGGCACUGGCAUCGAAGCAGAAGCCGAAGAGCCUAACGAGGUUGAUGUGGUGUGUCCUCCCGAUGGUGCCCACCUCCGCCAUGAAUUGCUCCUGGGAGGUCCGGUGGUCGGAGGUGGCGUGGAGCCGCUUCACGGCGACCAUGAGGCCGUUGGGUAGCAUGCCCUUGUAUACGGUGCCGAACCCGCCGGCGCCGAGCCGGGCCGAGUAGUUGUUGGUGAAGCCGGAGAGCUGCUCCGGGGUGAACCGGAUGGGCUUUUCGCCGGCGAUCUCCUUGAGGAACCUCUCCACAGUGGCGUCCCAUAUCUGCAAGUCCGGCACCACCGCGUACAACGACGAUGCUGGCGUCGCGACAGCGCCUGUGGUAUUGAUGUUGAUGGCUGGGAGGCCGUUCUUCUUGACACACCUGUACACGAAGUAGGCUAUGGCGACGGUCCCCAAGAUGCUCAACACCCCUAGAACCGCAGGAAGAAAUUCAGGUAAACGUAAAUAUAAAAAAUCAUCACUCUUGAACUAUUCUUGAAUAUGAUUUAAUGGUGAUCCGUGUGCAAAAAAACGAUUUAAUGCUGAUCGAUCGAUGGAACAGUCGUCACGCACCGACGGUCAAGGCCAUGAAGGAGUUGAAGGUGCUGGAAGCUUGUUUUUUCUUUUGAGGGGAAGCUUUAGGUCAUAAAACCUAUAGCAUUUUAUUAAUAAAUAAAGAGAAUAUUUACAAAUAAUUACAAGUGACAACUAUCUGAAGUUUUUGAUCCAUGAUUGCAUGGAAUGGUAUUUCUUUCUUUUGGCUCUAUGGAAGACCAGGUUGAGCUCAUAUUUGAAGGUGCGUUUGCAUCUGUAGAGCGAUGGGUUGAUCCCAUUGAAUAUAUAGUCAUUGCGUGUUUUUCAGAUACUCCAGUUGACAGCAGUAAUUAUCUCCAUGUGAAAUGGGACUUGAAGCGCCUGUUUGAUGAUCAUGAUGUUGCCAUGGACAAUUGGCUGGGGCAUUGUCGGAGCACGGUCUCCGGCACCGGGGAUGCCGAGCACCCCCUUUUUGGUUCGGUGGAGGGCGAGGUGAUCGCUCCGGCGAACGCCGGCGUGGCGAUAGACACGAAGUGUAGACACAAGAGUUUUACCCAGGUUCAGGCCAGCCGGAGGUGUAAUACCCUACGUCCUGCUUUGAGUUGUAUUCACAAGUUUGAGAGCGUACAGAUCACCCGGGGAAUUCCCGGGUUGGCUACUUAGGUGAACGCUAUGCUAUGUUCUACUCACUCGGGUUUGAACUGAGCUGAACCCUUUGACCGGUGGCAUUGGUCCUCCUUUUAUAGACAAGGGGAUACCACAGGUGGCUAUGCAUGCAGGGUGACACGUUGCCUAGACGCGUGUCACAGCUAUAUGGAAUACACUUUUGCUCAUCCACGUGAGACGCCAUGUAGCGCCCGGUCCACUGUACACGGUAGAAAAAAUGGUUCUCAGGGUAGCCUAAGACUCCUGUCGGUGCAUUAAAUGCACUGCGCCCGUCGUCUUGUCCUGUUGUGGUGACCCAGACCCGUAAGGAUCCGGACCUCUGUGUACUCUGUGCUAGUCCCUGGAUCAAAUGCUAGCACACACAGUUCCAUUGAUGAAGUACCAUACACAUGUCUAUUACAUCGGUUCGAAUUACAAAUCCAAAGUACUUAAUACAACCAAGCGGAAGUUCAAAAUAAAACAAACUGAUAGGUGCAGGUCAGUACAUUGAAUGUACUUGCAAGUCACACCUGUGUGGUUAGGAGGAAUGCAUGGAAAUGAUGAAGGGUUUCCUAGUUUGGCUACUAAGGUUGUUUUUGCAAAAUGCUGCUUUUGGGGUUUUGAAUUACUCAUAGUACUUUCCUUUGAAAACCUCUAAUCCUGGAGUUUUGAUAAAACAAUGUUUGAUCAAUAGUAUGGUCAUUAUGUGGAAGUUCACUCCACGACCUAGCUAUGCACUCUGGGUCAACUGACACUCACAUAGCAUCCCUUUUUUCCUGACUCAUUCUGUGGAACCUUCCAUCGAGUCAAAACAGUUCUGGGGUUUUUGAAAACAAAACCUGAAGAUCUCCACUUCUCCUGACUUAAUGACUCAAAGUCGCCCGUAACCAGGGGCAUGGCUAAUCGAUUAGAUUGACACUCUCGAGAGGUUUGUACACUUUACCCACUUGACACAAUCAGUCCAAAGUGUUGCCUGACGACAAGCGUGCGCAACAGAUAAAGAUUGUGACGAAGUCUUUCACUAGAAGCCCCCUGAUACCUAAUUCUGGCACCGCCCGCCCCAUAUGAGCACAUUGGCUCCUCUCUGGAUGGCGAUACCCAGGUAAGGGUUUCCCGCUAGUUAGUCGACCAAGCCAGAGCCCAUAAUAGCAAUUGGUUGCACAAGAAGCUUUUGGGUACAUGAGAAGGUUUGAACUCUUGAAUUUCUGGACAGCGGUCCCCACCUUCUCCGGAGCGUGUACCCGUUACGGGGCUACAACACUUGCCGACAGCCAACUGGCCUCCAUCAUACCACUCCAUCCAGAUAAAACAUUUUGGUUUUAUUUCGAAAACAUUUUUCCAAAAACAUACUCGCUCAUAAAGAGCACUUAAUACUUUUCAAUAUAGUUUGGGUCCCGUCCCGUUAUAAUAGUAUAGCAUGCUUUGGAAAAACGUAAAUACAUAACUUAUGGUAUUUGGUGGCAUGGCAAUAAAAUCCUAUAAGCAAUCUACUAGGAAUAACUAAACAUGUUGAAAACGCAUUUGAUAAAUACUUCAUAAAGAAAUAACUCUAACAUGCAUCCCUAUGCCAUUGUAAACAAGAUAGCUUAAGCAAAAUAUAGGUACUACAUGAUCAAUAAGUGUAACUUGCCUGGUUCAGAAAAGUUGUUGCGGUCGUCAACUCCCUGGCACUCGUUGCAAUCGCAAUCCGAAUAAUCUAACGCGAAGAACGAAUCAACAAUAAAUGCAUAGUUCCAAACAUCUCUCAAAAUCCAAAUAUAACUCCAAAUGAACUUCGGAUAAAGGAUGUGUCACAACCAUACAAAAACAGAAUCUAAACAUCAUCUAAGUAAUACCAUAGUAUUAACAAUCAAGUUCUAAAGCCUAAGGUUAACGCUAGUGUGGCUAAGUCUGAAGAUUCAGUAAUCUGCUUCUGUUAACAGAUUGCAACUAGGGUUGACAGGAAAAAGGUGCUAAGGUACAGAACAUGGAAUGAAACAUAAGCUACAGUGUAGUUCUAAUGUUGUACUAACUAACGCAAUAGGUUUCAGUCCAAUUGGAUAAACAGACCAAAAGUUACUGGCUUGCAAAGGUGGCUAGUCAGAUUCUGACAGACAAAGAAUACUAACUUCUACUGAAAAGCUACUGGUGCUAAACUAUUCCAAUGACAGAGAAAUAAUCCAAGGAAUCCAAGAAUAUGAUAUACUCUUCCAAAUGGCACUGGUUUCACUAAUUAUGGAGAUAUGAGGCAGUAGCUAUGAACAGGUGAAUGUGGUUACUCUAAAACAGAACAGUACAGGAUAUGAACUUCUACCGUCAUGCUGCUAGUGAAGGUGAAAUUGAAAUGGUCCAACUAGGAAAUUGCUUUGAAGGGGUGUACCUAAGGUUCAAACUACAGAAAGAAUCAACUAAAAUGAUGCUACGGACAACAAAAAGAACUACUACGAAUAAGGCUACCCACUAAGAAUGGUGCUGCAACUUCCUGCCGUGGCAGAGAUAUGGCAGAGAGGCUGCUUAGAAUACAAUUUUGCGACGAGGAUGCAGUGCUCAAGAUGAACCAUCUACGGCUACUGUCUACAGAGCAAUUAUAGAGAAACAUUCACUCUACACAAUGGUGAAAACUAGAGCACAUAAUGAUCAACGGUCUGCUGACAAUCGACGCUUGAAAAGAGCUAACCGAAAAGCACGGGAGAUGAACAUGUUCAUACCCAAAUCUUCCCGGAGAUGAACGGAAUCGAAGAUCCGAAGAGCGGGAACGAAGAAGAAGGGUUGGAGGAGAUUCACGGUGUCGCGGGGAUCGCGCAGGCGAUGGCGGUUCGGCGAACGGAGCAGCGCAGCUCCGGCAAUUUCUCCCCGGAGUUUGGGCGGCGGCGGCGGCGGUUUCGGCCGGAAAUCGGGGCGCAGGGCGAGCGGGGAGCGGGGGCGGGCGAGGGCAUGCGCGAGAGGGGGCGCGGGGUGCUUUAUAGGGCUCGGGCGCCUGGGCGGCGGGGCUGGUGGUUGCGGCGCGACGUGGGGUCGCGGGCGCGUGCGGCGACGGCGGUUGCGCGGGCGACGCGGGCGGCGGCAGGGCCGGCAGGGCUGAGGGCGGCGGUGGAGUCGGCGGCGCGGGGCAGCGGCGACGGCGGCUGCGCGGGCGAGCAGGCAGGCGGGCGCGGGCAGCGGCGGCGGUUGGAGACGGCGGAGGUGGCCAGAGGAAGAAAAUGACUGGUGGGCCCCACCUGUCAGUGAGAGAGAGAUAGAAAGCGUAUUUCUCCAAGAAUACGUUUUCCUGCGGAGAAAGCGUAAUCCAGAUAAAAAGAAAAAGAAUAAAAGAAAAAGAUUAAUAAAUACUUUUCAGGAUCUAUAAUUCACCCGAAAUUCCAUUUAAAUCAUUUAAAAUAUCAAUUGGCAUCAGAAAAAUUCCAAAAAAUUCUGUAAAAUAAUAUAUUUCAUUUAGAGUCAAGGAAAAUUAUUCCCACUCAAAAAUAAAUUAAUAAAAAUAGUUGUAAUGUUUUUAAGCUUUAAAUAAAACCAAAUAAAAUCCUAGAAUGCGUUUUUAAAUUCUAGAAAAUUCUCAAAUCAAUUUCUAUCAACCUAACACAUUCCAAGACACCAUUUAAAACACUUUCAAUAAUGCAUCAUAACGAACACCAAAAUUUUAAGAUAUGAUCAAGGUGAUAUGCAUAAGAAAUGAAAAGGUGCGAACAUUCGAAAUCGUGGGCCACUGGUACGACAGUAGCCCUCGGGCGUGCGCCGGCAGCCUUGAAGCUUCCAGCAAGCGCUAUCCUCGAUCGGUUGCCGGGCUACGCCCUAUUUGACACGUGGGUCCCAAGGGGGAAACCCAUUGGCACCCGGCCUCGUGGGCCGCAUUUAUAGUUCCACUUCUCCGAGCAAAACGGUCGGGCGCACGAUUUCGUGCCUUAUCCCCCUUAAUCGCCAGAGAGUUAAGGCCACGUCGCGCACCCCCUCUUAAUCUUUGAUUCUUUAGGGCUCUUUAUUGAUGAUCAUGGGGGUGUCCGUUGCAGUCCGCCAGCCCCGAUAAAUACCCAAGGCCAGUGGCGGGGCACUCCCCAUUGUCUCUCGCUCCUGCCAUCACCUCCUCCCAAGCUCCCCGCUCCCCAACUCCAACUGAACCACCUCUCCACCUCCGCCGAUGUCUUCCAAGGGCCAGAACCGUCCCAAGGGGAGCACCAGCAAAGGGGAUAAGGCCGGCAAGAAGGAUCUGUCGGACAGGGCUCGGAAGGAGGAGGAAAUGCGGGCUAAAUUUGCCUUCUCCCCCCCCCCCCCCCAGGGUACAACGGCGAGGGGGUCGACAAGCUGGACUUGGUACUGGCCACCAAGCACAAUGAGCACGGGCCGACGCAGGUCCUUCCCGUCGGAGCGGAGCGUGACGGGCACUAUUUCCGGAUCUUCGGGAGGUUCAUCCUUGCCGGGUUCGUGCCGCCGCACUCCUACUUCCUUUCAGCCAUCAUGGAGACCUACAAGCUCAUCAUGGCACAGCUUCACCCCAUGUCGUUCUUCACAUUGGCUAUUUUCCAACACCUCUGUGAAGCGUUCGUGGGGGUGAUGCUGUCGGUGGCGCUAUUUCGCCACUACUACUACCCGAGGGUGGAGAAGAAGGCUCCCCUGUCCUCGGGGGUAGUGUUCCGAUUCCGCGACAGAAUCAAAUCGGAAUUCAUCGAGCUGCGGAAGAAGAAGAUCGAGCAUGAGUGGCGCUAUGACUGGUGCUGGGUGCGCACCGAUGAGCUCCAGGAAUUCCACGAGGAGCCCCUCGGGCCUCCGAAGGGCUCUGACGACUGGACGCUCCGCGACCAUAAGGACGAGGAGCUGGCCCCAAUCUGUGCGAAGAUCAAGGCGCUCCGUGAGGCCGGGCUCACGGACACGGAUGUGGCGCGCCACUUCAUCGGGAGGCGCGUGCCCCCUCUGCAGCGGCGCUCUCAUCCGGCGUGGAUGUACACCGGGGCCAGCGACCGGACCCGGCUGCAGCGCACGGACCUCCUCGCGGAGGAAGUGCAGUUCUGGGUGAAGGGUAUCACCGGCGAGGACGAACCUUACCGGCUACUCUCGCCUAGAACGCACUCGCUCCACGCCGAGAUCCCGAACCCGGGAGCCCGGGAUCUCCCACUCUGUGACGAGUGGGGGAUUGUGGAGGACCCCUCGGUGCAACCCUCACCCCCGCAGCCUAGGUCCCGGAAGGGCAAGGAGACGACUGCCGACUCGGGGAAAGGGGUCCAAGGCCAGGCCUCCACCAAGGCAGAGGGCUCGGACUCCGACGACUCCUCGCUGGGUGUCGGAGGAGACCUCAGUGACGACGACGUUCCCCCGGCAGCCGGCAAAGUCGUGCCAGAGGUGGAUGACGAGUAAGAUGACGUCCCCCUGGUGAGGCGGUCCGCGGCGGAGCGGGCGGGAGGCCAGCCCACAGCUCCAGGAGCCUCACGGCGACGCGGGGGCUGGGGCCUCCGAUGGCAGUGGCGCGGCAGCAGCAGCCGCCCCGACCACCUUGGCAACUCCAACAGUUCCCCCCGCGCGAAGCGGCCCUCCGGCGAGGAGCAUCCUAGCGGACAGGGUGCUCAAGCUCAAGCCUGCGGGGUAAGUCCAAUGUUGUCCAGAACAGUUUUGAUUUCGUGAAAUUAUUUUGUGCCUGACUAAUCUAUUUUUGCGUUUUCCAGUUCGUCGAGGAAGAGGGGGCAGGCCAGCGUGUCGCCGGCAGCCCCAACCAAGAAGCCUUGCCCGGCAUUGGGCGGCCGCGACCAAGACGCUGCUGACGCUGCGGUUGCGAUGAUGGUAGCGGGGUCCCCGAUUCGAGCUCGCAGGGCACCGGCCCGGCGGUAGGUACGUGCAAGUUCGAACACUUCCUUUAUCUGUUCGCACCAAUCCCCAUGCUUGACGCAGGUGCCGUUCAUGCAGUUGCCGGAGGGGCUCCAGCUGCGCCCGCGCCUACAGAGGUGCGGGUCAUCGACCUUACUGGCAAGGUCGACGACGAUGCUCCGGCGGAGGUUUCCUUCGCCGGAGCCCUUCAGCAAUCGACCACGGCGCCUGCCGGGGCCAUGACUGCUGCAACAGGUGACGCCACGCAGGGGGUGCCAUCUGAGGCGGGCGACACAGAGCAGCCUCUUCUAGCCGGGGUGGGCGGUGGUGCCCUGGAGAAGCCCCCGAGCCCCCAGCUCGCCCCUUCGGACGAGCAAGGAGCGGCGGGGCUCGGCCAUGCCGGGGGCGCGCCAUCAAAUCCUGACGCGCCCUCGGGGUCGCAGACGGUUGCGGCGGGGUCCUCCUCCUCCGCCGGAGCCGCCUUCAGCCUGGGAGCAGGGGAGCUCGCCGGGCGGACUCGGGGUCGGAUCACUUUCGAGCCCAGCGUGUUCCAGCAGGGACACCAAGUGAUCGACAACAUCCAGCAGCAGCAGCGGAUGUUCGUCAAUUAUUUCAACGACGCGCAGCAGCACCACGCCCGCGUAGUGGCCGAACUGGGCGCAGCGCGACGGGAGGCGGAGGAGCAGUGCACCGAGCUGCAGCGGCUCCGGCAGGAACUCCAGCAGGCGUGGCAAGCCGGGGCAACGCCAGCUCUGCAAGGGGUGCCGGAGGCGCAGGUCCUCCAACAGCUGUGGGAUCUCUAGCAAGAGCACAGCGGGAGCUCGAGCUGGUGAAAGCCACACAUGCCAAGAGCGAGGAGGAGCACCAGGCGGCUCUGGACUCGUUCCAAGGGCGUCUCCGGAAGAAGACGGACUUACUGUCCGGCUACUCCCCGGAGAUCCAGCGCCUCCGCCGCGAGGUCGGAGAGCUGGAGACGGUGGCCGCAAUAGCAGCCGAAGCCUCAGCGUGCCGGGAGAAGGAGCUGCGGGACCAGGCCCGCUCCCGGGAGCGUGAGCUUGCGGGGCAGCUCAAGGCCGCCCAAGAUGCCAGCUCGUCCCUUCAGGGCGAGUUCGACAUGGUGCGGCAAGAACUCCGGUUGGUCGACGACGACAACACCAAGAAGGCGUCGGAGAUCGGUAGGCUGAAGUUCUAGUGCCGCGAGCACAAGCUGCAGGCCCAGGAGGCUCGCGGUGCGUGCAUAGAGCUGCGGGCCCGCAGGACAGGGGAGGUGGCCCGGCUGAAGAAGCUGGCCGACUCGGCGGUGGAGGCGUUGCAGGGGUUCGACAUCCCUGUGGCUUCCUUCGAUGGGGCAGACAUGGGGAGGUUCACUUCGUUCUUCUCAGACUUCGUCGGCCGGCUGAGCGGCUUACAGAGCUGUGUCACGACCUUCGGGGACCGGCAAGUCGGCCUUGCGGCCAAGCAGGUCGCCAGGCAGAUUCUCACCCGGGUCCACUCCGCCCACCCCGACUUCCCGUUCGAGUCGGUCUUCGACGCCUGGUCGGACGAGGAAGAGGCCAAGACCCACCGGGAGGCGGUGCAGGGCGUCGUGGACGAGAUGGUGGCGCGAAUGCAGGGUAAGGUCGACGAAGACGAAGCCGCUGCUGAGGAGGUUGCCGGAGAAGCCCCCGAUGCCGAGGAUUCCCCUGACAUCGACGCAACCACCCCGGGAGCACCUCCCGCGUAGUUCUCUUCCUUCUCUUUUUUUUAUUUCCCUGGAAGUGGUGCAUGGCGCCUUAGAACUUUUUAUGUUAGCUUUCCCUUGUCAUUAUCAGUGUUACUCGUCAACUUGUUUUGCCCAAGCUUUGAUAUAUAUCCAAUGCUACUUUUAUUUGCUCCUUUGCCUAAAACUAGCUUGACGGGGAGGGGCUCUGUCCUUCCCGUGUUUUAGCCUUGCGUACUCGGAGACUCGCCAACCACAUGCUUGGCCAGACUAGGGACCCGGGAUGGACCCGCGAUGCCGACCUAGGGCCAAACAGCAGCGGCUAGUCACUCCGCCUGCGGGUUAACUACCCCAGCGCGCACGCCUCUGGGACGGACCCGCGAGCCACGUGUGGGGGGCGUCCUCACCCCGCAAGCGUCCUUCCUACGCUCCGGCUACACGGGGACCGAGCUUACCCCAGCAAACCAGUGUUACUAAAGGGGAAAAACCAAGGAUCCAAGAUACUUAGCUUCCCGUUCUUUUUAGACUUGUUGCGCCUUGUUGAGAGCCGUGGCAAGGACGUGGUGGCAGUGCACCCUCCAGCAGUACCUUCGGAGCUGCGGAGGCAUGCACCACCAGCCUUUACGACGCCUCUCGCUUGUCUCAUCGCCAUUUCUAGUGUCGCUCCAUAAGAGAUGUGGCAGGGCCACGAUGGUGAGAACACCCUCAGCGACAAGCGCAGAGGGAUGCAACACCAUCGCCUCUCUGCGACAUCUCUUGUUUUCUUGCCCGUUUCUGGUGUUGCACUUGCCCUGGUCUCCUUAAAUAGCCAAAGGGUUGUUCUUGCCUCCACACGCCCGGGACCACCAGCCGCCGCGUGGAGGGCACUGGCCCUGUCUCAGUUUCCUGCAUCAAGCCUCGAAGUAAUCGCCAUAUAUGUACAACUUACUCGCAAGACGACGACACCCGUGACCGCCACGAGUGUCACUGUGUGCCUUCGCCUCAUCCCUAUUCUGCAUGUCAGAUUCCUGCAGUGCCCAAGGUAUAUAGCAAAAAAAUUCGAAAUGUACGAAAAACAAUAUAAACUGGAUAACCUCCUGCCUCCCAGCCCCCGGGCACAGAAGAAUCAACCUCAGACCUGGGUGUGAACAUCUCUACGUUUCCACGGUGCCUCUCUGGCACGUAGCACGUUGCAGACGGGCCCGACAACUGCUAGGCCUCGUUCCGGGGCGUCCCGGCAACGAGCUUGGUUUUCAGGGUUCCGACAGCCCCCUGCUCACGGCCAAGGAUGAGGAGACAAUUCGGUGCACCUGGAGCAGGAGACAGAAGCAUUCACAGACAGGAAAGCACAAUAUUUACCAAUGUAACACUUAUCUUUAUUCAACUUUGUGCUAGUGGAUUACAAUCGGGCCUUGCCCGGCUACACUAGCUUAAAGAGGCAUGCUGCCGUAGCGUCACCCGUGGGUAAGGCACCAUCGUUUCACGGGCAAAACUUGCGUAUGUGCUCAAUGUUCCAACUAUUGGACACCGGCAAGCCUUCUUCGGUUUAAGGACGGACAGCCCCCGGUCUGGUCACCUGCACUACCCGGAAAGGGCCUUCCCAGAUUGGAGUCAACUUGUUCCCGACCUUCAUUCCUUGUAUCCGGCGCAGGACGAGGUCUCCAACCUCGAGCCCCAGGGGACGGACUCUCCUGUCGUGAUAACGACGGAGUCCCUACUGGUAGCUUGUAGCUCAUACAGCAGCUCGGCAUCGAAUCUCCUCGAUGAAUGUAAGGUCAUCAAUCCUCUGCGUGUGUUGGCUCUUGUCGCCGUACGCGCGUACCCGAGGUGACCCAUACUUGAGCUCGAGUGGCAGCACAGCUUCUGCCCCGUAGACGAGGGCAAACGAAGUUUGACCCGUCGCCCGACUCGGCGUGGUCCGCAGUGACCACGGCACGGGCUGGAGUUCUUCAACCCAGUGUUUCCCGUGGUCUUUGAACUUGUCAAAGGUUCUCGUCUUGAGCCCCCGCAGCACCUCUGUGUUGGCUCGCUCAACUCGCCCAUUGCUCCUCGGAUAAGCAACAGAGGCAAAGUGAAUCUUAGUGCCCAUUUCCUCGCAGUAAGCUCGGAAAACCACACUAGUGAAUUGCGUGCCCUUGUCGGUGAUGAUGCCGUUAGGCACACCAAACCGGCACACAAUGCCCUUGAAGAACUUGAUGGCUGGCUGCGCCGUGACGGCUCGGACAGGCUCCACCUCGACCCACUUCGAGAACUUGUCGAUGGCCACAAGUAGGUACUCGUAGCCGCCAACUGCUCUCGGUAGUUUGCCGAUGAUGUCCAGCCCCCAGACCGCGAACUGCCAUGAGGACGGGAUGACUUGCAGGGCUUGCACCUGGUUGGUUGCGCUUCUUGGUGUGAAACUGGCAUGCUUCACAGAUCUUGACUAAUUGCUCGGCAUCGGCUAGUGCUGUCGGCCAGUAGAAGCCGUGCCGGAACGCUUUUCCAGCUAGUGUUCUGGAGGCCACAUGGUGUGAGCAUGUGCCUCGAUGUAUAUCUUUCAGCAACGCGUGCCCUUCCUCCUCGGGCACACAGAGGAGCAUGACUCCGUUAAGACGCCUCCGGUAGAGUUCUCCGUCCACCAGGGCGUACAUUUUAGCUUGCCGGGCUACUCGCUCCACGGCAAUGUCUUCCUCCGGGAGAGUCCCGUCCUUGAGGUAGCGAAUAAUAUCCGUCCCCCAGGAUGGUGUUGGGAAUAUGCCCUAGAGGCAAUCAUGUAUGAUGUAAUUCCCAAUGUAUUCAUAAAUAUUAUUAAGUUGUCCUUGUUUGAACAUCUGAUAUGUAUCAUUGAAUAUGUGAUUUGAUUGUGAAACUAUGUAUUCUUGUUGUUCAUACUAAAUUGUCCUUAGUCAUUGAGGUUGUGCUGGACACAUAACCUAGACUAAUGUGAAAGUUGGCUGAUGACUCGGUUCCACUUGUCAUGGGCAUGGUGAUGUCAUUCCAGCUUACAUGGACUCGGCUAAAGAGUUUAGCGAGUCGGACUGACCCAUAUUGAGAUGCAACGAGUAGGUCGUCAUUUGCAUGUCUCAAUCAAUGUAAUCCUUAGACCUGAGGUUAUCGCACAAUCCGAGUUGUGGAUCACCAACUUAGGUUCUGUCAAACGUUGUUCCGUAACAGGGCAGUUAUAAAGGCAGAGUUCGGGUUGACUGAGAAUCAAGCUGUGUGAUGUGGAUAACCAAGAUGGGAUUUUGCCCCUCCGACUGGAGAGAUAUUCUCUGGGCCCUCUCGAGUGAUAUGAUUCGGGAAGCAUGGCCAUGCGCGACUUGGUUAACUGUUAACCGGGUCGAUCGACUAAGAGUUAGUCGGAUGAAUCGUAUAUCACAAAUCGAGAAGAGAGUUGAACUAUUAAAGGGAUGACGAUUAAUCGCCUAUAGUUCGACAAGGUAUAUCGUGAGGCAAAAGGGACUAAGACGUAUGUCACAUUGGAAGGUACGUCGUCAUGACUCGAUGGUACUUGGGAGUCGGCACGUUCUGCUAGGAGCCGCUACCGAUUGAUCGAUUGUGAGUCGGACUCCAAUCGUGUCCAAGUCGCCAUGAGCCUGCGGGGUCACACACUUAAGAGCGGGAGCAAGUAUUUGGUCGGGUUGGACCUGAACUGGAAUUGGGCUGACAAUGCGAGUUGGACUCGCUGGGUGGAUGGGCCACAAGGCUUGGAGCCCACUUCCACUCGGUAUAUAAGCAGGGGCGUGGGAUGCCUAAGGGGCAACGGUUUUUCCACUCUCAUGCGUUGAGAACUCUAGCCCGAUUCAGUUCAACCGUCGCAACGGACCUAGCAGUCCGCCGCCGGAGCUCCUCCUCGCACGUGUGGAUACCGGCAGAGGUGCUGUACGUUCAGCACUUCGACGAUCGCGGGAUUGGAUCGGCUGGAUCGGAUCGAGGGACUGCACUGCAUCAAGGCGCCGCAUCGAUAAUCCGCAACUGCGCGUCUAGUGGUAAUCCUCGUGGCCUUCUACCUCGGCUAGAUCUUGGGAGUUCGCGUAGGAAAAGUUUUGUUUAUCUCUACGCGCCCUUCAGAUGGUGGCUCCCGGCUAGUAUAUGCCCCCAAUUUGGCGGCAUAGUCCCCUGCAGCUGCAGACUCACCUUGAGUUGCCGGAGGGGCUUCCCCGGUAACUGCCUUGGGGUCGACAGAGGGCUUCGACUGCCUCUGCACGAACACCCCAGGAGGCACCUUGCUGCGUUCCGCUGCCCACUUGGACAGUUCAUCCGCAACAAAGUUGUCUUUACGCUUCACGUGCUCAAAUCGAAGUCUUUUGAACUUGGACUCCAAUUUUCGCACUUCCUCCACGUACGCUGCCAUCUGGGGGCAGUCAUAGUCCUUGUUUACCUGGUUGAUCACGAGUUGGGAGUCUCCGCGAACAACCAAGCGCUUGAUGUCGAGGGCGAUCGCCGCGCGUAGCCUGGCAAGUAGUCCCUCAUACUCUGCCGUGUUGUUGGUGGAGUUAGCGAAGUCGAGCUAUAUCACGAACUUGAGCUGGUCUCCGGUGGGCGGCUCGAUCACCACUCCGGCACCAGCGCCCUGCAAGAAGAAGGCGCCGUCGAAGUACAUGACCCAGUACCCUUCGUCCAAUCUGCCGGGAAGGCUUACUUCCGGCUCUUCUUCCUCUAUGCCUGUCGACGUCCACUCCGUGACGAAGUCAGCGAGAGUGCUUUUGAUGCUCUUGGUGUUUGUGAAACGCAGGCGAACUCUGCCAGCUCCAUUCUCCACUCGGCCACCUAGCCGGUGGCUUCACUGUUGGUGAGGGCCCUCUCCAAGCAGAACCCCGACACCACCGUGAUGCUGUGCGCCUGAAAGUAAUGGCGCAACUUCCUUGAAGCGAGCAGGAUCCCAAGCAGAAGCUUCUGGACCUACGGGUACCGUACCCGGGCAUCGCGCAGCACCGUGCUAACAAAGUACACAGGAUGUUGUACUAGCCGCUUGCGGGGGCCAGCCUGCAUGGGCUGUCCCUCGGAUCCAGGGGCAGAGGAGGUAGCCGGAGGUUCUUUCGGCUCGCCGGGAGCCCCCGCCCCUUCCGUCUCAUCCCCCGGGACUUGCUCUUCCCUCUCGGCGAUGAGCACGGAGCUCACCACCUGAUCCGUCGCUGCCAGGUACAGCAGCAAUGGCUCGCCCGGCUUGGGGGCGACGAGGACCGGCGGCGACUUCAGGUACCUCUUCAAGUCUUGGAACGCCGCUUCCGCCUCGGAAGUCCAAUUGAUUGGACCCUUCUUCAUCACCUUGAAGAAAGGCAGGGCUCGCUCGCCCAGCCUUGAGAUGAAAUGCCCUAGCGCCGCCACGCACCCGUUGAGGCGCUGGACGUCUCUAACCUUGCGGGGUGCCUCCAUCUUCUCGAUCGCUUCGAUCUUCUGUGGAUUGGCUUCGAUUCCCCUGUGAGAGACCAAGAAGCCCAGCAAGUGUCCCGAGUCCACACCGAACAUGCACUUCUCGGGGUUAAGCUUGAGCUUGAUCCUGCGGAGGUUGUCAAACGUCUCCUGCAGGUCGCCGACGAGCGAGUCCCUAUGCCGCGACUUGACGACGAUAUCAUCCAUGUAGGCCUCGAUGUUCCGGCCUAGCUGGGGUCCCAGACACUCACGCAGGGCGCGCUGAAAUGUCGAGCCCGCGUUCUUCAACCCAAAAGGCAUGCACGUGUAACAGUAGCAGCCAGCCGGGGUGAUGAACGUUGUUUUCUUCUCUUUGACUGCCAUCUUGAUCUGAUGGUAGCCGGAGAAAGCGUCUAGGAAGCACAAAGACUCACAACCCGUUGUAGAAUCUACUAUUUGAUCGAUACGGGGUACAGGGAAGGGGUCCUUAGGACAUGCACGGUUAAGAUCAGUAAAAUCUACACACAUGCGCAAUUUAUUUUCAGCUUUAGGGACUACAACAGGGUUUGCUAACCAAGUAGGCUACAACACUUUCCUGAUCGCUCCGGCGUUCUUGAGCUUCUGCACUUCCUGCUAGAUGAAGUCCUUGCGUUCUUGUGCUUACCGGCGAACCUUCUGCUUGACGGGCCGCGCGUCCGGCCGCACUGCCAGCCGAUGCUCGAUCAUGUCCCUAGGGACUCCGGGAAGAUCUGACGGCUCCCAAGCGAACACGUCAGAGUUCUCCCGGAGGAAGGCGACGAGGGUGCUUUCCUAUUUGUCGCCCAGGCUCGCACCAAUGGAGACGAUGCGUGCCUCGUUGCCGGCAUGCAGGGGCACCUUCUUGACCUUGGUGCCCUCCUCCUUUAGCUUCGUGCCCUUGCUUACGCGCGGGCUGGAGCUGGAGCUGCCCCCGGCAUCCUGCCUGGGAGCGGCCCGUGCAUUCUUCUGGGCGGGUUGUUCACCCGCAAGUGGAUCCUCGCUCCCGGCAACGUCGUAGUCGUUGGGAUCCGCACUGCGGAGGUCUUCACGACCUCACCCACGCACCAAGCAGCAUCCUUCAGGUUGCACUUGAUGGAGAGAACGUCGUAUGUUGACGGCAUCUUCAUCACGCCGUAGGCGCAAUGCGUUGCCGCCAUGAACUUGAUCAGCGUUGGCCGACCAAUGAUCCCGUUGUACGGCAACGGGGUGUGAGCCACAUCGAAAAUGAUGUGCUCAGUCCGGAACGGUUUCCGGGAACCGAAGGUCAUCGGGAGCGUGAUUCGCCCCAUGGGCUGCACCACUCCGGGAUUGAUCCCCUGGAACGGGUCGGUGGGCUUCAUCUGCUCCAGGGAGAGCUGAAGCUUUUCCACUAGCUUGGCGGACAGCAAGUUGAGGCUUUCCCCGCUGUCCCCUAGUACCUUGGUCACCGUCACGUUGUUUAUGAUCGGCGACACUACGAGGGGCAGGACCCCUUAACCCAAGGGACAGAUUUGGUCAUCGUCCGAGUUGAAGGUGAUCGGCACAUGCGACCACCUCAACGGCUGCUGCGCCUCCACGCUGGGGAGGAGGGCGCAGACCUCACACGUGAGCAGCUUCACGGCGGCGUGAGACGUGAGAGCAUAAGCUCCCCCGUGGAUGCAGGCGACGUCGCGAGGCUCCUGGAAGCCGGCUCGUCGGCGUCGUCAUCGCUUUAGACAUCCCCGUGCUGCUCAGCGCGAGGCUUGUCAUGUCCCCGGGGAGGCCGGUCCUUGCCACCGCAGGCCUAACAGCGACCCCCCACGGGUUCUCCUUUGUCGCCGCCGGCUGCGCCCCGGCCUGCUCCGCUGCGGGGGUUGUUCGGGCAGUCCCGGGAGAGGUGCUCGAUGUCUCCGCAGUUGAAGCAAGCCCCGGAAGCGUGGCGCUCCUCGUGGCGUUGCUCGCGCUUCUCCUUGACGGUCUGAAGAGUGCGGCAGUCCUGUGCGUCGUGGGUGGCGUUGGUGUGGAUGGGGCAGCGCGCGGCCACUGCCGGCUUGCUGCCCGAUGCUCCUGCCGACACUGCCUUCUUGGUGGGCCUCUGGGGAGUCCCCGGCUCCGCGGCAAGCACUUGCUUCCCGCCGCGUUUCCAGGAGCUCUUCUUCCCGGAGCCCUCUGGUGGGUUUGCCGCAGCUUUGGCGGCAAGCUCGGGCGGCAAGCGCCCUUGCUCGGCCAUCACGCACUUGUGCACGAGAGCGUAGAGAUCCCUUGUGCUCCAGAUCCGGUGCGUGUUGAGCUUCUCACGCAUCUUCGGGUCGCGGACGUUGAUGGCGUACGUGUUGAUGAUUGCGGCCGCUUCCGCCUCAGGGAUGGAGUAGGAGAGGUUGGAGAACCUGUUGGUGAAGUCCUGCAACGUCUCCCCGAUUUCUGCACGACCGUGUGCGGUUCCGCCAUGGUUCUCGGGCGCUUGUAGCCGCCCUGGAACGCGUUCACGAACUACUCGCGCGGGUCAGCCCAGCAGGCUAUGGACCCGGCGGGCAGGUUGAGCAACCAAGUCCUCGCUGAUCAUUUGAGGACCAUCGGGAAACAGUUGGCCCUGACCUUGUCGUCGAUGCCAAUGGCGUGCAUGCCCAACGUGUAGGUCAGGAGAAAAUCCUUGGGGUUCACGGUCCUGUCGUACGUCCCGAGCAUCGGCGCUUGGAACUUGUGGGGCCACGUCACCCGGCGCAGCUCGCGAGUAAACGCGGCGCAGCCGUCCUCGGCGCCUAUGGGAGCAUCCUCCUGCUCCUCUGGGCGCUGGCAUUCUGCCUCACGCCAGCACCGGCGCUCCAAGCACUGGCAGGGGUCUUCCUGCUGGUGAGCAUUCAAGACGCCUUGCGCGUCACCCCGUGUAAUGGUCGGUGACGAAUCCGAGGACCCCACGGGAUACUCGCCUCCUUUCCCUCCCAACGGGGGAGGGUGUUCUCCGUGGCCCGAGACGCGGGGCGCAUCUUCGCAUGCCGGAUCUGCCCUCGGCCUGAACCAGCCGGGGCGCCCUCGCCUUGCGGCUGUUGGGCGGCGAGUGCAAGGAGCGCGUCUAGCUCCGCACUCCAUGCUUCGUGCGCUGGUGUACCUUGCGGUGGCUCGUAGCGCACCAUGACACGCGCGGCUAUGAUGGCUUCCGCCGGGGUCUACCGAUGGCCGAGGAGGUGGAGGUGGCAGCUGCGACUGCUGCUGCUGCCGUGGAGAGGACCCCUGAUCCCCUUGUGCUUGUGACGCGCGCGCAGCGUCAUGGGACCGAGUGCGCAUGGCGAGAGUGUCGCGCAAGUCGACCCGGGGCUCGUCUGCCUUCUUAGGCGGCAUGGCGAGCUAGUCAUUGAAGAUGUCGUAGGCGAAGAAGCCGGUGUUGAUGACGAUGACGCCGGCGGUCACCUGAAGCUCUCUGCACGCCCCCCUACCUGGCGCGCCAGAUGUCGGAGCACGGUCUCCGGCACCCGGGAUGCCGAGCACCCCCUUUUCGGUUUGGAGGAGGGCGAGGGGAUCGCUCCGGCGAUCGCCGGCGUGGCGAUAGACACAAAGUGUAGACACAGAGUUUUACCCAGGUUUGGGCCACCCGGAGGGGUAAUACCCUACGUCCUACUUUGAGUUGUAUUCACAAGUUUGAGAGCGUACAGAUCACCCGGGGAGUUCCCGAGUUGGCUACUUAGGUGAACGCUAUGCUAUGUUCUACUCACUCGGGUUUGAACUGAGCUGAAUCCUUUAACCGAUGGCAUUGGUCCUCCUUUUAUAGACAAGGGGAUACCACAUGUGGCUAUGCAUGCAGGGUGACACGUUGCCUAGACGUGUGUCACAGCUAUAUGGAAUACACUUUUGCUCAUCCACGUGAGACGCCAUGCAGCUCCCGGUCCACUGUGCACGGUAGAAAAAAUGGUUCUCAAGGUAGCCGCUCUAGCCUUGCUACAAGGCUAGACCUGCUGAUAAGACUCCUGUCAGAGCAUUAAAUGCACUGUGCCCGCCGUUUUGUCCUGUCUUCACUGUUCUGUAGGUCCCGCUUGCAUGCCCGAGCGCGGGUUGCUGGGGUGCACCUUCCCCGCUAGCGCACCGGCUAGUUGCUGGGAGGCGUUCCUUCGGCUUCCCGGGACCAGGGUUCCCGGGAGCAUCUUGUACUCGUCCCUUAGCUUUAGCUUCACUAGGGGGCGUCUCCUCGAGGCAGGCUUCCCGGGCUCGUCGCUUCCCGGGAGUCCUUCCUGAUGGGGCUCCGUCACUGGCGACCCACGCGUCCCGUAUCAGUGGGACCCCGUGGGCCACUGGUACGACAGGCAUGAAUGUCGGGCAAAUAUAUCUCCAGCAUGUCAAUGCAAAGGGACAGGAGAAGAAAAGGUGAUCACUGGUUUCCAGCUGGAAUUGAUUGCAGAGGAUGCGGUUGUAAUCUUGCAAGUGGAAGUUCUUUUUCUGUAGCAUGGCCCGAGUGUUGAGUCUAUCAAUCAAAGGGAGCCACAUGAAGACCUUAUGUUUGAGCUGACAACAUGAUGACCAAUUCCAUUUGAGUGACAUGGGAAUUUCAAUGUGAGCAAUGAAGGAUUGGUAGAUAUUCACAGUAGAGUAACCAGGAUCAUUCCAUGGAUAUAGCCAUGUAUGUCGUUCAUCAGUUCUGUUCAUGUUUGUGCAAAGCAGAGUGAGUUCCAGGAAUUGUUGAUGAGCUCCAGCCGAAAGUGGCAGGUGGAAGAGAUCAGUGAGCUCUUGUUGAUUUGCAAUGUCCCAGUUGGUGGAGAACUGAUUGAUGACAAAUGAGUGCAGUGUGGCCAAGUGUGGGCAAGUGGAUUAUCCUUCCAUCUAUCCAGCCAAAAGAGAACUGUAUUCCCAACCUGAGCGUUGCAAUGUGCAAUUUCCUUGUAUUCAGGUAAUAGUUUCAACGUGUCUUUCCACCAAAAUGAUGCCUCAGGUGUAUUAUGUAUGGGCAGAUCAUGUGAAUAGUAUUGUUCCCAUACAAGGUUAACCCAUGGAAGAUUAACUCUAUUGUAAAAUUUAUGCAGAUUCUUCCUGAUCAGAGCUUUGUUUUGUAGUUCCAUGUUGAUGACCCCAAGUCCCCCUUCAUCUUUCGGCCUGCAAACCAUUUCCCAUGCUGCAAGUGGAGGGUUUUUCUUUGUAAGAUCUUGUCCCCGCCAGAGGCAGUGUCUUCUAUAUUUGUCAAUCUGUGUUAUCACUCCUUUAGGCAGGAUGAAUGUGCUCAUCUGGAAAGUGGGUAAAGCAGAAAGGAUAGGAUGAAUUGCAAUUUUCCUCCAUAUGAGAGCAUACCGGAGAAACAAGAAAGUCUGCUUUCAACUCUUUUGAUCAGAGGCAUGAAUUCCUCAAUCUUUGGCUUUGUAGUACCAAGUGGAAGGCCGAGAUAUGUGAAUGGUAAGGUGCCCAUUUGGCAUGCAAGAAUAUCAGCAAAGUACUGCCCCCUUUCAGUAGUCAUAUUAAGUGGGAUCAAGCUUGAUUUGUGAAAGUUAACUUUUAGUCCAGUGGAAGCAUGAAACUGUUAGAGGAUGUCUUGGAGAAUUUGGAGUUGGUUCUCAUCAGCCUUCAUGAUAAUCAGAGUGUCAUCAGCAUAUUGGAUGAUAGGGAAAUCUGGACAACCAGAUGAGUUGAUUUUGGCUUUCAAGAUGUCCCUGAUGCAUGGCUUCAUUAAGUGCAGUCUGAAGGAGGUCAGCAACAAUGACAAAUAUAAGAGGGGAUAGUGUGUCACCCUGUGUAACACCUCUCUUACAGUGAAUCAUUUUACUAGGAACACCAUUAAGAAGAAUUUGUGAGGUAGCAGAGUGUAGUAUGUUAUUGAUCCAUUGACACCAUUUAGUACCAAAUCCCAUAGCCUGCAUAAUCUGGAUGAUGGCCUUAUAUUCAACUUUAUCAAAUGCCUUCUCAAAAUCAAGCUUGAGAAGAAUUGUCUCUUCCUUGGAUUUAUGACAUGCAUGAAUGUACUCAAAUGCCCAAGCCAGGCAGUCUUGAAUAGUUCUGGUUUUAAUGAAUCCAUGUUGAUUGGGGUGAAUCAAUUGCAUGAUUAUAUUCUGGAGUCGGUUAGCAAGGAACUUGGUGAUGAGCUUGAGUGAGCAGUUGAGGAGUGAGAUGGGCCUGAAGUCAUUGACCUUGUCAGCAGCAUCAGUCUUAGGGAUGAGUGCAAUGUGGCAGGUGUUGAUGCAGGAUAAUGAUAGGAUGCCAUCAUGGAAUUGUUGACAGAGCUCAUAGAAAUCCUCUUUGAUGAUAGGCUAGCAUUUUCUGAUAAAGUUAGUGUUGAAUCCAUCAGGUUCACGGGAUUUGUUUGUUGGAAGGUUCUUAACCACCAUGUCAAUUUCUUCAUGAGUAAAUGGCUCUUCUAUGGAGGAGAGGUCAAUGUUCUGCUGGAAGAGAUCUUGUAAUGGAAAUGUGAGAUUCCGACCCUUAGUUGUUCCAAGUCUCUCUCUGAAUGCUUGCCAGAACAUAUUGGCUUUGAUAUCAUGAUCAUAUACAAGAGACUCAUCACUCUCUUCAGACAAGCAAUUUUGCUCUUCCUGUGCUGGAUUGUUGCAAGUGAGUGAAAAAACUUUGAGUUCUCUUCUCCAAAUUGAACCCAUUUAAUUUUUCAUUUUUGUUUCCAAUAUGUGCUCGUCAUUGGAGAAUGAUGAAAUAGACAUGAUGAUCAAUUGGUUUGAAAUGAAACGGCCGGAUACAUCGAUUGGCUGGCUGGCUAGCUAGAGAUGACAGAGAACGCCGAUGAUGAUAAUUCUUCUACUGCUUGAUCCAACAUUUGAAAAUGGGACUUGGAUUUAUCCAUAGCAGGCAUGCAGUCGCUGUUCUCCAAGUCAGUCAACACGCGGCCCCGCUGCUGCUGCUGCGCCCAGAAUUCAACACGGCAAAUUAACUACGAUCAUCAAUAAGAGGGAAAGAAAGCUAGUUACGACGAAGAAGCCGGUGGCCGUGUGGGUCUGUGGCCCAUAUAUACGUGUCGAACAUCAAAUUCUUGCGAGCAACGCUACACAUACGACAUGUCAUGUACGGUACGAUGCUUGCAGCUGCCUGCCCUAUGCAGUCAGUCCAAGCUGCCUCGCUGUUCUUGAUCAAUUACUUAGCAGAGAUGAGACUCUAGAGAAUCACUUGUGCAAUUAGGCAAUAGCAGAAGCAGGGGAGGAGGAGGACAAGGAGGCGGGGUCACGCGCGCAGUUGGGCUUCACGGCCCAAUAUUUAUUUCAUGGCCCGACAGUAGAUUCAUUCUUUCCUUACAGGUCGCGCUUAGGGUUGGGCUUCACGGCCCACAUUAGAUACCUAGCCGGUCUGGUCGGGGUGUGCAGCAGCUGGACCGGGGGGCCUUCUCCGACAGAGACCAUCGAGAAAGCUAUAUCUCCGGGAGACUCCCCUGAAAAAAAAAAUCUCCGGGAGACCAUAUAUUUCUCCGUUCCAUAUUAAGUGACUUACAUUCCCAAAUAUGGAUGUAUCUAUAACUAAAAAACGUAUAGAUACGUGUAAUAGAAAGUCAUUUAAUAUGGGACGGAGGGAGUAUAUCAACACAACCAUUGAUGCAUGUUAUUUAUGUUUUCUCUUCUCUAGUAUUACACAUGUCCUUAAGUACAAUCAAAUGCAAAGGUUUGAAGCUAAACGAUCUCGUCGUUACCAUGAUAAACACCAUUUACGGAUGCUGGUACCGUGUUUACGCUGCUCGUUCCGGUAGUCCACAGGUUUGAGGCCACCGGCGCCGCCAUGAGAUGCAGGAACGGGUUCACCGGCUCAUCAAUGUCCAUCUCGCCCUCGAGCAUCUUCACCACCGCGCUCAUCGGCGGCCUCGCCUCCGGCUGUUGCUGCACGCACCAGAAUGCCAUCUUGCACAUCCUCUCCGCCGUCUCCUCGUCCUGCUCGCCCACGAUCUCCAUAAGCACGCCGCUCUCGUACUUGAUCCAUGCCAUCUUGGGGAACCACUGUUGGCUCUCGGGCACGGCCUCGUCGAAGUUCCUCCUCCGGCCGAUGAUCUCAAACAAGAAGAUGCCAAAGCUAUACACGUCGCACUUUUCGGUGGCGCCGGCCUGCAUCCACAUCUCCGGUGCGGCGUACCCAGGGGUGCCACGCAUCCCGGACACGUCUUGUGUGUGUCGGCCCGGUUCAGCAGCCGUGCAAGCCCGAAGUCAGCCACCUUGGGUGUGAGGCUGCCAUCAAGGAGCACGUUGCCAGGCUUGAUGUCGUAGUGCACGAUCCUGCUGGCUCUCCUCGUGGAGGUACCGGAGGCCCCUCGCAACACCAACGGCAAUGGCACGCAGCGUCGGGAAGCCAACACCACGGUUCCGAUCAUUGAAGAGGUAGGCGUCGAGCGCGCCGUGCUCCAUGUACUCGUACACCAGCGCGCGCACGCCACCGGUAGUGGUGGCGUCGAAGCAGAAACCGAAAAGCCUAACGAGGUUUAUGUGGUGCGUCCUCCCGAUGGUGCCCACCUCCGCCAUGAACUGCUCCUGGGAGGUCCGGUCAUUGGAGGUGGCGUGGAGCCGCUUCACGGCGACCACAAGACCGUUGGGGAGCAUGCCCUUGUACACGGUGCCAACCCGCCGGCGCCGAGCCGGACCGAGUAGUUGUUGGUGAAGCCAGAGAGCUGCUCCGGGUGAACCUGAUGGGCUUCUCGCCGGCGAUCUCCUUGAGGAACCUCUCCACGGUGGCGUCCCGUAUCUGCGAGUCCGGCACCACCGCGUACAACGACGACGAGGCCGGCGCCGCGACAGCGCUGGUGGUGUUGAUGUUGAUGGCUGGGAGGCCAUUCUUCUUGACGUACCUGUACACGAAGUAAGCUAUGGCGAUGGAUCCCAGCAAGCCCAACACCCCAAAAACUGCAUGUCGAAAUUCAGGUAAAACACGCGUAAAACAAAACAGAAAAUUUUCUCCUGAAUUGAUUCUUGAACACGAUUUUAAUGGAUGGAACUGUGGAUUUGCUUGUACGCUCACCGACGCCGAUGACCGGCACGUUGGUCAUUCCGUUGUUGAGGUCUUUGAAGGCUUCGUUCAUAUCAGCCGGCGGCGGGAUAAAAACAGACAUUGCUGAUGAACUUUGUUUGUGAAAUGAAAGGGCCGGCUGGAUAUAUAUCGAUCGUUUAGCCAGAACGCCAAGGACGAUAGCUCUACUCGAUAGUUCUAACUUGUACUGAGUACUGUUUUAAAACGGGAACUGCAUUCAUAUUUAUAUAGGAGUAGUAGUACGUACUAUAGCAAGAUCCAUCCACGCACGUGUCGGUUCCAGGGGUUCGUGGCACCUACGCGACCCCGGAAAUGUACACCGGAUCACGGCCAACUGGCCAAGUAUUCAACACGGCAAAUUAACGAGGAUGCCGUGUGGCCCAUAUAUAUAUAUACGUGUCAAACACUCAAAUUCUUGCGACCCAUACGACAUGUCUUGUAGUACAAUGUUUGCACGAAACAGCUGCCCUGUGCAGUCAAUCCAAAGCUGCAUCGCGGUUGUACAACUCGAAGGAGAUUGCAGUCACACACACAGCCACGGAUGUACACAAAAGAGUUAAAUAAACAUACAAGAUUCCUCGAAAAAUAAAACAUACAAGAAAGAGUGAGGAGCUCUUUUUCUUUAUUACUCCCCCAAUCCAUAAGAAUACGUAGUACUCCCGAAGGAACGUUGACCGCUGACCAUCCUGAACGAAAUGGCUCUCCGUCUACGUCGAACAAUCAGGCAAUAGCACAAGGAGGAGACAGAUCCUUCCAAAAAAAAAGGAGGACGGGAAGGAGGCGGGGGAGGACAGAGGAGGAUCAAGUCACGCGCGUAGCUGGGCUAUUCCAUGGCCCGACAAUAGUGAUAGAUUCUUUCCUUAUGUGGGUCGUACUUAGGGUUGGGCCUCACGGCCCACGUUAGGUGCCCGGCCUGGUCCAAUCCGGUCCGGUCGAGGUGUGUGCAGCUGGACUUGGGCCCUUCUCCGACAGAGACCAUUCAGUUCGACGCGGACCGAGCUCUCAGAAGAAAAAAUGAAAGAGUUCGACGCGGAUCGAGAAAUUACUACGGAGUACUUCGCGGUCGCUGGAAGCCCCGAAAAGGAAGAAUGAAUGACGGCGUGGGUGACGUGGCGCGGCGAUCCGACGUGGCCCAAUAGCACCUGGCGGCGCCUUAUCCGAUGGCAAUCCGGCCUCAUCCCAACUCCAUCCACACGCUCACCACAAAUACUCUCGCGCUUUCCCGUCCCCACCAAAUCUCCUUCGUUUAACGCCUCAGCACACGCCCUGCCCAAGCUCUUCUUCCAGCCCAAAUCCCCAGCCAGCAGCAGCACAAGACAUCUAUCCAGCAAUGGCGUCCACCUCCUGCUUCCUCCACCAGUCCACCGCCCGCCUCGCCGCCUCCGCCCGCCCCUCCGCCGCCCGCACCCAGAUCCUCGUCUGCAAGGCCCAGCAGCACGACUCCUCCGACGCCGCCACCACCCGCCGCGCCGCCCUCUCCCUCCUCGCCGGCGCCGCCGCCGCCGCCUCCCUCAAGGUCUCCCCCGCCUCCGCCGCCUACGGCGAAGCCGGUACGUAACAGAGAUCUUACCCGCCGUUUGGUCCCAACAGAUCUCUCUCUAAUUUGGUUGAUUUCUCUGUAUGUGCAGCGAAUGUGUUUGGGAAGCAGAAGAGCACGGAGUUCGUGGCGUAC
Molecule: long non-coding RNA, 50130 nt
Filed under: Brachypodium distachyon (stiff brome)
Lineage: Eukaryota; Viridiplantae; Streptophyta; Magnoliopsida; Poales; Poaceae
Description: long non-coding RNA (BDIS_LNC001156)
Source: RNAcentral